UGUUGUUUGUUUGUCCUUUUCAAUUUUUAGCCAUGGCGUUGUCGGUUUGUUUUAGAUUUAUGAGUUUGACUGUCCCUUUGGUAUCUUUCGUCCCUUUUUUAUUCUGAUGUGUGGACCACCUGCCAUGAUCAAUUUUGCUUGCCUACCGAACCUCAAAAAACUUGGGUACACACCCAAGAUGAGAUUUGCCUACUAAGACCAAUACUAAAUAUAACUUAUUAUUUGUAGUUUCAAUGACAAUAUAUAUUAGUGUAUUAUCAUGCCAAUGCGAGGUGAUGUUGCAAAGAAAAAGCUUGAAACGGUAGAAUUCUGUGGUAUUUAUUUAAGAUUUCGUUGCAAAAUUAUAACCAAAAAAAAAGCAUUUUGUCCUUUCUUUGAUAGGCAUUAAAUAUAUAAUAAAACCACAACAAAUAUUAUUAUGUAACAUAUUAGUCUAUAGAAACAAUUAAAAAAAAUAUGAUAAGAUAUUAUUUGAUUAUGUUUCUUGAAUUAUAUAAAAAAUUAACAGAAUGUUAAUAUAAACAAAUAGUAAUGUUAAAAAUAAUUCACUUUACAGAUUCUUUGUUUUUGUUCAGUAUACACUUUCUCUUGAGGUCAUAACUUCAAAAGACAAAAUGGGGCCUUAUGAUAUGAGUGAGGGAUGUUUACUAGUGUGGACGCAAAAACAAGGAAACUACUAUACUUGUGUAUAAUGUAUAUAAAGGAAUUUGGCCAAUAGAAAAGAGAAACAUGUUAUAGGGAAAUCUUUUUUUGAAAAUGUGUAUUUAUUUGUAAUAGGCUGAUGAGUAAAAGUGUGUGAAAAGUGCUACAUUAUUUUUGAUUGUGGUAAUGCAAAUAUUUGGUGCAAAAACACAAUAAAAGUAUACAAUGCAUAACAUAUACUUGCUAUAGUCAUAUUAGAUAAAAGAAAAGAAUUAGAUAUUGAUGGGAAUGAACAACUGUUUUUGAGCUUAUUUAUGCUCAAUGCUCUUCAACUUCGUACUUUAUUUGGCCUUUUUAAUGUUUUUGGAUUCGAGCGUCACUGAUGAGUGUUUUAUAGACGAAACGCGCGUCCGGCGUAUAUACAAAAUUUGGUCCUGGUAUCUAUGAUGAGUUUAUUUAUCUUAUUGUCAGAACAUUUUUAAUUUUUUUGAAUUGUUGAUUUAUACAAUGAUAUUGAAGAUGCAAACAAAAAGAUUGCAGAAAUUGUAUCUUUAUUGAAUAGGCGGUAUUUCGAAAUUGAUAUUUUUCAAAUGUCAAAUGUUGAAAAUAUCAAUGAUAAAAACAAUGGGUACAUGUUAUGUUUGGUGUAGGCAUUGCAUAGAUAUUAUAUAAAGUUUUUGUUACAAGCUUUUCUAUUAUUUUUAUCAAAAUUCUUUGAAUAUUUUGUACAAUGGGUGUUGUUCUUAGUAACUUAUGGCAAAAACAGACCCAGUUAAACAUGACUGAACUGAUAACAGAAGAGAGAGCAUUAAGUAGUCCCUUGUGUGCCCCUUGCAUUUACCUCUAUACAUUCAAAAAUUGGUUUUCAUUCUCAUAACUUUAAUUUGUCAACAAAAUGUUAUACACAAAGCUUUAAUAUAUCCUACAAAAUAUAGAUCAAGUUUAAAUUAAAAAGUUGUAUUAGCAGUGGUCUAUUUCAUUUCCAUGUUGGAAAUACUAAACAUCUGGAGAACUCUUGUGAUUAGAAAUUGUCCUUCCAGUAUUCACAAAUAAUAAUAAUAAACAAAACCCAAACAGUUUAAUCAUAUACAUAUUUCUUUCAUGAGCAAACUUACAAUGACAGUGCCAUCAGAAGUCCAGCUGUUAAAGGGGAUGGACCAUCUGCUUUCAGUUUUCCUAUAACAAAAUUUAUAAGAAUCACAAUUAUACAUGUAUAAAGUAACAUAUAUACGUAUGUCAACAAUUGACAGGUACACCAUCGCUAUAGCAAUCCACAAAGUUUGAAACCAAUUUAAUCUAUGAGAGACGCAAAAACGUUUUGCUAUCUUCAAGUCACAAUAACUUUCCAUUGAUUUCUGGAAAAUAUACGACUGAAGUCAAUGAUAACAGUACAUUGCAUGUCAAAAGUGUUAAACAGUUCAUUUAUUCAUUUGAAGUUCUGGAGGAGAUUAUACCAAUAUUAUCCUAAAGACUUUCUUCCAUUUUUUCUAUAUAAAAUUUGAGAUCCUAUAAGAUGCCUGAUAUAAAUAAAACAAUGUUUUGAUAACUGCUGAUGCUGAUUUUUGCUGGUAAAAAAUUGGAAACAUCACGUUUAAUAACUUCAUGUGUCCGAAGCGCUUUUCUGGAUUUACUUUUAUCAGGAAUGCUCAAAGGCAAAACUAUCAUAUCUAAAAUAAAGAAAUACAUCAGGAGAACACAAAAGUGUUUUUUAUAUUUUAUGUUUAAAACUGUUUACUCCAAUUUGUUACCAUUGUCUGAGUUAUGUUUUAUUGAUCAUUUAACGAUUAGAACGUUUAAAAUGUAAUGAUUCAAUCUAUAUGUCGUGAACAUGUUAUUAUUUUGUACAGGGUAUUACUUGUACAAACAUUUUAUACACGUAAUUACCUGUAUGAUGCCAUCGUACAAGUUAAACUUGUACAAAUACAAUUGCACAAGUAGUUACAAGUACAACUAUUACUGAGAAAAAGAUGAUAACUUGUACAAAUCAUAAUUCUACCUUAGCCUAUUUGAUGUUCUCAACAAACAAUUUCGUAUUAAACAAAUAAUUUAUGGCUAAAACUUAAAAGUAUAAACUUUCAACAUGUGUGGUUUUUUUUUAUAUCAAGUAUAUGAGCAAAACUUUAAAAAAAACUUAAAACUAAAAUGUAAAGAUGGAAAACAGUGUAGAACAAAAAAAUCAUAAUGAAAUAAUUAACUCAUGGCGUGACAACAACUCUUCUAAUAAAAUUGAGAAUGGAAAUGUAAAAUGGUAGUCACACUUAAGUCAAAUUGAGUUCCAAAAAGACAGUAGCCCUAACAAGAUAUUUCUUACGGCAGUAUGGUGUUUUAAGAGUAGAAGAAAUUGAAAAAAAUCAAUCUCAAAAGAGACGAAAUGUCUAUUAUUGGACAAUUGAUUCACUUUACCCUUUGAUAGAACAGCACCUUCCAAGAGAUGAUUAAAAGAUUUAAAAAUUUGAGACAUAUUAUAAUACCAGUGCAAAGAGUAGACCGAGGUCCGGUUGACUGUAGAAAUAUCAAAUGGAUACUAAUGAGGAACAAAAGUUGGAAUCAUGAUUGUUUUUUUUUAGUCGAAAUCAAAUCGAAACGAUUCAGAGACAAUGUUGGACAUACCAGAGACCACUGAGGUUAACGUCAUGAAAGCAGUACAAUUGCUUUCUUUAAGUGGUGACCAAGGUCAUGUUUACUGCAGCUGUCGGGGUGGCAGUAAUACAGGCACAUGUAAAUGCAAACGAUUGAGCUGGCAAUUCCAGGUGAUAUGCUUUCUUGUCUUUUGCAAUUAAUAAAUAGGUUAUUGGAUUUAUAAGGUUUUACUUUUGUUUCCAAUAUGAGAUAUUACAUUUGCAACUUUUUAUCCCGAAUUAUGUUUGAAAACAAAUGAUAGAAAGGUUUUAUUUUAUUUUUGCUUUUAGCGACUUUGUCACUUUGCACCAGCAGUCCGUAUGUGGCAACAAGCUGUUUUUGUACAAGAAAUAACCUGUACAAAAUAAUGAAAUGUACACGACAUAUAUACUCCUUUGAAAAAUGCACAUAAUAGUAACUUAGAACACACAAUUCAAAAAUGUCCAUGAAGAACAAAUCGUGUAAUCUCAUAUGGGGCUAACAUUUUCCUGGGAUUUCUCAUUACAGUACAUUUCUAUCUGCUGAUCCUUUGCGGAGCACCUGAGAUCAACACCCCCAAGCUUUUCUAUUAUUUUUAUUAAAAUUCUUUGAAUAUUUUGUACAAUGGGUGUUGUUCUUAGUAACUUAUGGCAAUAACAGACCCAGUUUAACAUGACUGGACUGAUAACAGAAGAGAGAGCAUUAAGUAGUCCCUUGUAUGGCUCUUGAAUUUACCUCUAUACAUUCAAAAAAUGGUUUUCAUUCUCAUAACUUUAAUUUGUCACCAAAAUGUUAUACACAGUGCUUUAAUAUAUCCUACAAAAUAUAGAUCAAGUUUAGAUUUGGGUGGCAUCACUUCUACUUUUCUUUAGUUAUGCCCCUUUAUAAAGUUAUACGCAAGUGGGGGCAUCAUCUGGUGUCCAUGGGAAAAUAAGGCAUGAAAAACUAAGGAUUUUUUUUACCCCAGGCAUAGAUUACCUUAGCUGUAUUUGGCACCACUUUUUGGAAUUUUGGAUCCUCAAUGCUCUUCAACUUUGUACUUGUUUGGCUUUAUAAAUAUUUGGAUAUGAGCGUCACUGAUGAGUCUUAUGUAGACGAAACGCGCGUCUGGCGUACAAAAUUACAAUCCUGGUACCUUUGAUAACUAUUUAUCCAGUAUCAAUGUUAUCAUUUGUUAAAGUUUGUGCUUCAAUCUCUUUUUAAAGAAGAAACAUUCAUGGCAAGUGAAUGAUAUUUGAUAUACAGUUGUACAAGCAGUGGUCUAUUUCAUUUCCAUGUUGAAAAUUUGGCCCAGCCGGAUUUAAAAUUGUGCAGAGUUUACAUGUUAAAGGUUUGAUAUUAGGUAUAUUAAUAUGCAAACCAAGAAGAUAUAAUGCCAUUUAAAUUUCAAUAUUUGCAAGGUACUUUUGAAGUACACAAAAAUUCAACAUAAGUUAUUUAUAAAAUUUAUGGUAAAUAAAACAUUGACUAUUAUCUCGCCUGUGACUGCAUAUCUUGUAUUAUGUCAAAAAGGUUUUGCCAUUUACAAUUACAUUCUCCCUGACCUCAUUUUCAUGGUUGAGGGACUGCUAAAAUCAAAUGAAUUACUCAAUCAAGAUUAAUAGGAUAAAGAUACUUGGUAUAUGGGGUCCUUGCAAUAACAUUAACGGUACUAAUUUUCCUGCAACAGAUGCGCAUUUCGACAAUACAUGUCUCUUCAGUGAUGCUCGUGGCCAAAAUAUUUGAAAUCCAAAACUUAUAUAAAAGAUGAAGAGCUAUAAUUUAAAAGGUCCAAAAAGUAUAGCCAAAUCCGUGAGCAAGGUAUACACCUCUAUCAAGAUAGGGGACCAAUGUGGAGUACUUGUUGUAUUGUCUGUAAGUUAAUAUAAGGCCAUAACAUAAGCAGUAAGUCAAUCAAAUUUAGUUGUUUUUUACUAAUUGUAUGUUAUAAAUGUCUGUCUUUUGGCUUCAUCUGACCUUUACCUCACCGCUAUCUUUUGUGUUUUAUGCCGUUUCUUUCAUACUAUGAACAAUUAUAGGACUGCCCAAGAUACUGAAAGAAACAGGUUAACUAUAUUUGGUGUCUGGAAUGAUUGAAAGGGGUUUUUGCCCGUUUGACAGCGCUUCAUUGACUGUUUCACUGAUGAGUCUUUUGCAGACAAAACGCGCGUCUGGCGUAAAUGUUAAAUUUUAUUACUGGUAUCUAUGAUGUGUUUAUUUACCCAUAUUUUUGACAUUUUCCUGAACAUUAUGUUCACACAUUGUUGUCAUAAAAUAAUUUUAACCGACUGUCAUGCAAGAGGUUUUAAUAGCUAGCUAUAAAACUAGCCAUAAGCCACUAUUUUCCACAAAAGAAAAUGCCUGUACCAAGUAGAAAAAAAAUAUGACAUUUGUUAUCCAUUCGUUUAAUGUGUUAGGGCUUUUGAUUUUGCCAUUUGAUUAGGGACCAUCCGUUUUGAAUUAUCCUCGGAGUUUUCUGAGCUUACUUUUCAUCAUCAACAAUGAUCAAUAUUUCAAAACAAAAUAAGAUGACAAUCGAAAUCAUUGAACAUAUAACAACUGUUAACAUGUAUCUACUUAGAAAAAGGAUUGGACACCAAGAUGUUUAGGACGAGGAAAAGGUAUAGAUAUUGAUGUCCACUUUAACUUUAGAACUUUCCUUUAUUACUAAGCUUGCUUUUAAUUGUUGUUUUAUAAAUUUAGAUCUACGUCGAUCUGUGAAUGAAAAUCGAAGAUAGGUGACAUGCAUCUUGGGAUGAUAUAGAGGCAGUAACAACAGCGUCAACUAAUGGUACAAAGAUUUAUAUUUCAGAAGAAAGGAUAUUUGCAAGCUUUAUACCCUGUACAUGCUGUAUACAAGUUUCUUAUAUUACAUAGUUUCCAUCUGUCUGAUACCCAUUGUCCUUGAUCCUCAAGGUUAAAUGACUUUCUUAAUAGACACACUUUCUUUGUACCAUUAAUUUCUUAUUUAUUUUUGAAUAAUAUAGUUCCUCCACGAAGGUAUCAACAGCGCAGUAAUCAGCAGUUAUAUGUUGGAAAUAAUUAUCCUUGAUAUGGUGAUUAUUAGAAGCUAACUGUUUAUAGUAAGCUUUAAAAUUUCAAAAUACUAAGAAUUUUCUUCACUAGGAAUAGAUUACCACUGCUGUUUUGGAGAAACGUUUUUAAUUCUGUUAGAAAAUUAAUACGACAUUGACAAACAAACUUUUAGUAACAUCCUAAAUAUAUUUACCAGUUAAUCAGUUUGAAAGAUAAAUUCAAACUGCAACAUGUCAAAAGACAAUGGCCAUUGCGGAAGGAAAACAGGCUUCUUCAUCUAUUCUUGAAACGUCAAUCCAUGAUGUAACAGAAAUAAGUGUCUAAAAAGAUAUAAUUUCUGAAUUUUUAAAAGACCUUAUAAUUUUCCUACCGUUGUAAAAUUUGGCUGACAAAAUGUCAUUUUGAUGAUGAAGAACCAUGGAUGCCAGGUGUACAAACAUUAUCGUUGGAGCCUCUGGUUCAUUUUAUUUUAAUACGACAAAAAUUUUUUGAGAAAAUAACGUAUUCAAGUUUUAUCUUAGUUUCUGUCUAUUGGUUAAUAAAUGAACAAAUGAAGUACCAUUCUAAUUGUGAUCUACAAUGAGGAAUAAGACAAAGGUCAAUGAUUUCUAAAAUUCCUUAAUUGUAACUGUAACCCACGCUAUUUCAUGUUAUAUUUUCAAAAAUAUUCACCAUUAGUUAGUUUAAAGCACUUAAAUAUCUGAAAUAAAAAUCUUAUUAUUAGGCUUAACCGAGAUAAAAAAAAUCACGUUUUCUCAUGUAAAGCCCCUUGAUAAUUUCCUGUUUUAUUUUGCAUAUUUCUAGCUUUUAUGUUUGAAAGAAGGAAGAUUGAAGUUGUUGGCAUAUGUUUUUGAUAUAGCAUACAUGUAUAUAAAUAGCUGAUAAUAAAGUCUGGUUUCGCCGAGAUAAAAAAAAAUCGUGUAAAUUUUCUAAUGUUAAACCCCUGACAACUUCCUUUAACUUACAGAAAUUGGAUUUCUGUGCAUAUUUUCCAGCUUGCAUGUUUCAGAAAAGACUAAUAUUUUUGGCACAUAUACUAGUCAACAAAAGAAACGAUAGACAAGUUUGAAAUAAAAUUUAUCAUAAAUAUAAUUGAUAGGAAAUAGUUAUCAAAGGUACCAGGAUUAUAAUUUAAUACAAAAUCUUAUCAUCGUUUGUUUUUGUUCUCGCGUUUUGUCUACAUAAGACUCAUCAGUGAUGCUCAGAUCAAAAUAGUUGAGAAGCCAAACAAGUACAAAGUUGAAGAGCAAUUGAGGACCCGAAACUCCAAAAAAUUGUGCCAAAUAUGACUAAGGUAAUCUAUUCCUGAGAUAAGACAACCCCUAGUUUUUGGAAAAAAAGUAAAGUUUUAACAACAGGAAAUUUAUCAAAAUGACCAUAGCAAACACAUAUUAUUCAAAGAAAAUGAUCAUAUUGAAAAGUUAGAAAAUAACGAGUUAUUGAACACAAGGGUCAGAAUUAUUUUGUGAAAAAUAAGGAAAUAGUCGGCACUUGAUUUCGAAGAUGAGAAUAAAAUAUUCCAAUAUCUAAAGGCAUUCAAAAUUUUAAGCAGACUAUGUUUAAGUUUAACAGUGUUAAGUACUUGUAUUGUUUUUUUUAAGUUUUGGGUGAAAAUACGAUUUUUUGAAAUAACAAAAAUUUAAAAAAAAAAAAAAAAAAAAAAUUCGCGUUAUUGUCUUAACAAUCAAUCUUUUUGAUGAGAAAAUACCACUCUGUAAAAAUUAUAACAAUAGGGUAACUAUUUACCACAGUACAGUGUAUAAAGGCUGUGUCGAAAUUUGCUGUUUGAUGGUUCAUGUAAUUAGAUGGUAAGAAGUAUAGACGCUUUCAUUUUAUAGAAUACUUAUAUCAACAUUUGCAUUUUUAUUCGUUCAUUUUUCAAUCCAAUUUUAUCUAUGAUACUAUAUAUUAUGAACUGAAUAAUGUUAAGCAGAUUAUGGAUUACAUCUUCAUCUUUUCAAUGCAUCCAUGUCUGGGGAUAAGGUUUUUAUAUGAUUAUAUAAUCUUAUUGUAAUCGUCAUUCAAUUAUAGAUUAUAUCUUAUUAAUAUUACUUUAUUUUAUAUGUAUGCCUGUAUCAAGUCAGGAAUAUAACAGUUGUUAUCCAUUCGUUUGAUGUUUUUGAGCUUUUGAUGUUGCCAUUUGAUGAAGGACUUUCCUUCUUGAAUUUUCCUCGGAGUUCAUUUUUUUUGUUUGUGAUUUUACUUUCUACUUUAUUUGAGAACCACUUUGUUUUAAAUAAUUAUUGAUAUACUUUGAUAUUUAUGACAUUAUCCACUAAUGACAAUGUCCCAGAUUCUCAAAUGCCGAUAAUUUGAUUAUCUUCGUAUACUUUAAAUAUAAUUUAGUAAGAGACGAGCAGCAUUAUAUGUUACGAUAAGCACUAUGAUGAUCACUCAAGUGUAAGAAAGAUGCACAAUGGAAUGGAGUGAGGAUCUUCAAGACAAGGACGAAUAGAUGCUAGACUUAUAGUUCCCUCUUAAGUAGAAGUAGAUAAUGUUGCAAUAACAAAGGUUUUCAUUAUAGGGAUAGGGGUUCGUAUUCGCACCAAAUUAAAGUCAUGGAAGGAUCAUCACUUUGUGCAUUUUGACCAUUAUCUGGUAGAAGUAAAAGUAGAAGAAUAAUAACUUUCAGUUAAUUGUCCUUGAUUGGUUCUCGUAUAGAUGUAUCAUCUUUUUUUCUCUACUCACAUUCGAGUACUCAAUAAGAAGUGUGAUGAUUUCCACAGCAAUCACAAUUAUCAUAAAACGAAAAGAUAGUUAUGGCUUAACUUGUGAUGGAACAAUCAAUCAUGAAUAGAUACAUUUGCAAAGGGAACAGUUUUUAAACAAACAAAAAAUAUUAGAAACAAAUACGUUUUAACUGCAACUGGUUUCUCAUCAACAACAAUUAUUGAUGAGUGUCGAAUUACAAAACUGAUAUAUAAAUAAUGAUUAUGAUGAAUUGAAUAAAGUAUUUAACUAUUAAAAAAUGUUUUUUGUUUAGUCUAAACAUAUUUAUUUAUAGUGGAUUGGGAAACGAGUUAUUGCAACUUAUAUUAUGUAUACAAGUUUUUUGUUGUCGCAUGGUAUAUCGAGUUCGUGUGAUCAUGGCAUAUUUUACAGGGUUCGUGAUUUGUAUUUCCACACUAACUAUAAAUAAAAGGUCAUCUCAACCUACUCCUAGUAUGAUUGUUAAUGUCUACUUGACAGGUAAUUUAAGGUCUAACUCGCAUCAAGCUUCGUAUUAUUUAACAAAGCUGAUCUUUCGUGAUUUCGUGAUUACAUACUAAUCCCACUUACUACAAGUUAUAUGUCAACUAAAUUUGUAGAAUAUGAUAUAAUGAUUAUGUAAAAUGUAUAUAACAGUGAUCGUAUUACUUGACCAUUCAUGAUAUAUUAACUCAAUGGCUUAAAACAUCAAAUUCAGUUAAUCAGUUAAGCAGGCGAUACAUUUCAGAACGCUUAGGACGUAUGACAUUUAUAUAACGUGUUGUUUUCAAUUUUUUCAAUGUGUCUUCUCUUCUUCAAACAUGGAAUGAAUCCAAAAUAUUCAUAAGCGCGAGCUAAGCAUGCACACUUGCAUAUGUCUUUUAAGGUGGUACCCAACACCUUAACUAAAAUUAAUUUGGCUCGUUUAAUUUUCUUAAAAUUUUGACAAAGUAUUUACUUUGACCCUUUGACACAUAUAUAAAAAAUUCAAAAACAUUGAACCAACCGUUUAAAAUCAGAAAAAUUACACUGGUUAUUUAGUAGUUUGACAAAAACUUAUUUUGAUCAUUGAGAAGCUUAAUAUUCCCUUAACAACACAACGUCAUUAAAAUGUUCUGCUGAUUUUACAGAGUUGUCUCCCUGUAGUGUUAGGUACCACCUUAAAGAAAAUAUUUGACCUUUAAAAUUAUGUCUUUUGAAUCCUCUUUUGUCAUUUACAAUUUAUUUGUUAUCUGUAUCACACAACACUGCUUAUCCUCGUAAAAUAUCAAACUAACAUUCUGGUUUUUUAUAGGGUUCAAAAUUUUAAUUUUAUUUUUUUGCUACGUUUUGUGGACACACGCAUUUAUCUUUCUGUCUUUUUUGUUUGCUUAUGGUCUUGACUUCUACCUCUUAUACCGAAUUCAGUAUAAGAGAGAUAAGAUAUGCGCCAAUAAGCAUUUAGAUAGUGUGAAAAUGCCCCGCGUUGAACAGCCAGAUUUGUUUUCCGGAUGGGAGUAUUCCAUGGAAAACUAUAUUCCCAUAUGACAGAUUACACUUGGGUUUGUUUCUCGUAUGAUAAGUGAACUCCUUUACAUAAUUAUCAUUUAAUAUUAUCUGACUGAAUUGAUCCUAGGAAGAUAUUAUUUCUGAUGUACUUUAAAACAAUACUCAACAACAAAGGUAAAACUAUAAAGAAAAUAUCCAAUACAAUAGGUGAACGCCUGAAAAAGCUGUCAUGUCAGUUGAUUUUCGUUGUAAAAGACGUAUUCACAUUAUAUAAAAAGUGACAUACAUUAACAAUGUUUUUGAUAAUUUUAUCUAAUUUUUAUGUAACUGUCUUCAUAGAUUUCUUUAAUUUCAUGACCUCUGAUGCACUGUUGAAUCAACAUAUAUCCACAGGGACCACCUACUUAAAUAGUACUAAGAGUUUAUGUUUAGAUUAUAACAUAACCAUCCUAUUUAAAUAACGGCUAAGAUAUGACUUAGUUUCACACCUAAGAGUUUGAAUACAAUGAGAAAACGAUCGAUCUUUAUGUCGCAUUUUUACUUACAAUAGAGUGAUGAACCAAAUCAUUGAAAUUGCCUUAAUAGACUGACCAGAAAGCGGGGGCCGCUCUAGUCAUGCUUCAGUGAUUCCCUAUAAAAUCAAUCAAAUUUUCCCACAAAAAGGGGGACCGGGAUCCGGCUUUACUAGGAAAGUGUCGUUUUUAUAGGUUUAAUAGAUCAUAAUGGACAUUCCGAUGAUCUAUAUAAUGAACAUAUAUCAUUGCUCUAUAUUUAAAUGUCCUUUAAGGGUGUACUUAUGUCAGAUUUAGAAAUGUGUGAGAUGUUCAAACUUUUGUUUAUUCGGUACGGAGAAAAAUAUUUUGCCAAAUAAACACCCAUUUCUCUUUUCAUUUAACACUUCAAAUAACAUAAAGGUCAUUUCCAAAAUUUAAGCAGAUUUAAGAUAACUUUUCUUUUGCUUUGAGACUCAAAUGACAUAAAUGCAAAUAUAAGGUAAAAGUCAGACUCAGCCUUCUCCCUCCAUUUAAAAAAACAAUAUCCCUAAAAGAAAGCGUAUGACAACUUAAGUCUGUUGAGUUUCACAAAGUCUUAUUUGUUAUGGAGUCAGUACUUCUUUACCUAAUUAUUGUACUUCUGAUAGAAGUUGGAUAGAUUUCAAAUAUUUUGGCCUCGAGCAUGUGAAGAGACAUUCAUUGUCGGAAUAUUAAUAUGCAUAUGGUUAAGUAAACAAUAUAAUGGGAAGCAGAGACCUGAUGCGUUAUAAAUAAACUUACAAGUAAAGAGAUGUGUGGUUUGUGGAACGGAAUUAGACAGGAAAACAAUCAAAUAUUCCACUUUCACAAAUUGCACAUGGAGUAUUUGGUACAUUCGAAAGUGCACAGAUGUGGCGUGAUCAUAUCAAUUCUAUACUAAAUCUGUAGUUUCUACAACAUUCACAGAUGGAGUUAAAGAAGGCGUUUAACAUUAUCUUGAUGAUAAUGUUAUAUAUUAACUGUAAAAGAUCAUGUAAAUGAUUGAAUUGUGGAAAAGCUGCUGACAGUGAUGGCCUGGCUGCGUGACAUUUAAAAUAUGCAACUCACAGGCUACUUGCACUGUUGUCUAUGCUCUUAACAUCUAUGUGUGUUCACUGCGUCAUCCCAUGGGAACUUUCCCGUGUACUUAUCAAAGUAACUAUCAUAAAUCUUAAGCAAGUUAUUGUACAUGUAACACUUUUGAAUAAGGGUUUACUUUUCAAAUAAUUUGACGUUGGGCAUCAUUGAUUAGACAUUUACCAUCGAAAUAAGCAUAUGGUGAAGUACAAAACGUACCGUUAGUACCAUUACUAUCACUAGGUUGAUACCUCUGCUGGUGCUCAGUUAGUUUCCGAGGGUUUCAUCAGCUCAGUAGCCAGUACUUCGGCAUGUUACUCCAGAUAUUGUGUUAUAAGAAUUUGCUCUUACAAAAUUUUAAAUAUAAGUUUCAAUUACAAAUAUAUAUCUCUUAUGCGAAGCUCUGAUUGUUUGCCCGGGUUUGGCCAUACUCUUUUGCAAUUUUUGUUAUACAUGUUAUAUAAGCUGCUCAAAUUUUCAUUAUUUUGUUUUUGUUUUUUAAGUACCUUGGCCUAGAGCAUCACUAGUGAAGUAAAAUUGGUACCAUUACUGUUAUUUUGAAAAUAACCAAAUUAAUAUAUAUAUAAACAAAUCAUUAUGCAUGAGGUUUGGAAUCAAGUCCAAAAGAAGUAAACCGUUUUUGAAAUGCCUGUACCAAGUCAGGAAUAUGACAAUUGUUAAUUAUUCGUUAGAUUUAAUUGAGAUGUCGAUUUUGCCAUCUGAAUUCGGACAUUCCGUUUUGAAUUUUCCUCAGAGUUUUGUAUUUUUGUUAUUUUACUUUUUUCAUAUGGACACCAACUCGAUAAGCAGAAAACAAUUGAAAACAAGAUCAAAACCGAAAAUACGUUUUUACUUUCAGAAAUCAAUAUUUUAUGAGUUCUUUAAUAGUCGAUUACAAUCGUAGAAAAUGACCAACUUAUUGCUAUGCAUACUAAUUUUAUUUAAUUUCAACUUUAGAAAUAUGGUUUUUGUUGUCUUGUAAGUAAGUUCUUUAAAAAAAGGCGGUUGUAAUAAUACAGAGCUACCUCUUGCAUAAUUUUGUCCGCUGCAUGUUAUACUGUAAACCAACUUUUUUCGCGGAUACUUUAUUUCGCGUUUUUUCCCUUUCUAAAUUACUUCACGGAUAUUCAAUUUUGCGAUUUUCUGAUUUACUUGAGGAGUUUAAUAAGAAAUGAUCUAAGUUUAGAUAUUCACGACGAUUUAUAUUCGCGUUAUUUUUUACUUGCGAAAGUUGCGAAAAUAAGUUGGUUUACCUAUACCUGGUUCAUAUUACGUCAUAGAUAGAUCAAAUAAAACUUUUUAAAACUUUUUAUCAGGAACUUAUGGUAUUUACAUAACUGACAUGGAACGUUUAACUUGUAUAUUGAUACAUUUACUAUAUUUUCAAAAAUGAAAACAACACAUUAUAUACAUUUCAUGCAUCCGAAGCGCUUUUCUGGAUUUAUCAUAUUUAACAUUAUUUUUUUUUAAAAAUAAAACAUGAAAAUUAUUUUUGUCAAUUAAUACAGAGAUUUGUUGCAGUCAAUUUAUAAAAUGCUUAGCCUUCAAAAGUAUUUUAUAAAAUGCUUAGCCUUCAAAGGUAUUUUAUAAAAUGCUUAGCCUUCAAAAGUAUUUUAUAAAAUGACUUAUAAUACCUACAGUCAGUUUGAUUAAGAUUAUGACCAGUUGCCCAGAUAAUUAUUUCGACAAAUUGAUAUAUUAUACGAUAAGUCGACUUUAUUAUCUCAACAAGUCGACAUUAUAGAAGCAUUAAAUCGACUUGUCUAGAUAGUUAACACAACAUGUCGACAUACGUAUCGCGACAAGUCGACAAAAGAUAUCUCGGCAACUCAUCUUGAGGUCGAGAUUAAUGUCCGUAACUGCCCUUGUCUUAUUGAGUUGUCGAAUUAAUUAUCACAACAAGUCAGCUUUAUUUUUUUGACAAGUCGAAACGCAACGGGGUCGAUCGAGACGAGAUCGGUAGAAUGCAAUGGAUUUCACAAAGCUCUUUUGGUUUUUAAGAUAAAAGGGACCCAUUUGGGGUCAAACCCUCAAAAAAUAACUUUUAAGUCCAAUUUUUUCCCAUUGAAUUCUUUAUUCAAGAGUGGACACACUGAAUGUCUCGCCUGUUCUAGUGUUAAUAAUAUUAUUUAUAUUAAAGUAUAAAAACGAAGUUUAUACCAGAAGCAUUACAUUUAACCAAAAAUAUAACAUUUAAAUGACUAAUGCAUAUGAGAUCAAGGUGAGAUAAUCCGAAAUAAUUAUCUGGGCAACUGGUCAUUUCGAUGGCAGCUGUAUGCCACCAUAGAUUAUAACACUGUUUUGAACUUUUUUAUCCGAGCUUCACUGAUGAAACCAUGUAGAAGAAACGCUCGUCUAGCGUAAUAAAUUAUAAUCCUGGUACCUUUGAUAACUUUUAACCUAACAUGUUUGUCUGUUUUGUUCACAAAUCAUUGUCAAAAUAUUGAAUUUGAUGCGACUGUCAAUUAAGUGAGAGGUUUAGCUAGCUAUAAAACCAGGUUUAAUCAAGCAUUUUCCACAUAAGGAAAUAUCUUUACAAAGUCAAAAAUAUGGCAGUUGUUAUGCAUUCGUUUGAUGUGUUUGAGGUCUUGAUUUUGCCGUUUGGCAAGUGACUUUCCAUUCUGAAUUUUCGUCGGAGCUCGGUAUUUUUGUGAGUUUCCCUUUUUAAAUGACUAAAAAUAGGUACAGUCAGUUUGUGAAAAAGGUAAAAGUUAGAAACAAAAUUCAAAAAAUUGCCUGUCCAGUUUCGUGUUAUAUAAAGAAAAUAUCAUAGAGAUGAAUAUAACCAAAAUCACAGUAUCCUGCAAAAAAACCCGAUGGUCAGUAAAAUUUAGGCAAACAUUUAGGAAUUUUGGUCCUCAAUGCUCUUCAACUUCGUACUUUAUUUGGCAAUUUUAGCAUUUUUAGAUUCGAGCGUUACUGAUAAGUCUUUUGUAGACGAAUACAUAUUUAAUCCUGGUAUCUAUGAUGAGUAUUUUUACAUACAAUUUACAAACGAUCUUUUAGAAAACCUAGAUCCAAAUCAGAAGUUUGUAAUAUGAAGCUGAGAAAAAUAAGGAUGAUCUUAGAUUACCAGAUUGUUGUAUUUUGUAUUUAAAACGAGAACAACUGGAUAAUGAAUCAAAUAGGUAAGUUUUGAACUGUUUAAACCCUAAUAUAGUACAUGUACAAGCAUGUUUACUUCUGCUCCAAAUGAAGGUAUCCUAUAUAUAUAGGAACAGAAAAGUUGACUUCCACCAAGCUGCCUACUGAACGGUCAGAGAGUUCUUUGCUGACAACGAGUGCUGUCCUUUUCUAACAUGCAGCAUCAUAUUGAAUGUUCAUAAUCAGAAAGAAUGCAAGUUAAUAGACCCCUUGAUAGCUAAACGGAUUCUCCUCGACAAUUAAUUAAAAUUCUGCAGCGAAGGACGUCACACUCUGAAAUAAAAUAAUGAGCAUUAGAAAUAUAAUACACAUUUACUUCAAACAACAAUUUCAAUCAGAAUGAUUCCUGUUUCACAUUUGGUGGAUUGAUUUUAAAAAAAUGCUAUAUUCUGACACAAUUGUGUUUUUGUAUACUCUUCAGUAUUUCAAAACUUGGACAUGGUAUUCUUUUCAUAAACUAACAUAUUAUUGUACGAAGUCGGAAGUACGCACAUGGAAGCUCUGUUACUGUGAAUUAAAAAAAGACGAUCAUUGUAUACUUUUUAAAAUUGGCGCUUUUUUGGGAUAGAGGAGGAUAUUUACAAUACCUCUUCAAUUUAAAGUCAAAAUACCCUUUUUUAUAUGAAUACACAUUUAAGCACCUGAGAUCACCCCUAGUUUUUUGAUGGGGUUCGUGUUGUUUAUUCUUUAGUUUUCUAUGUUGUGUCGUGUGUGCUGUUGUUUGUUUGUCUUUUUCAUUUUUAGCCAUGGCGUUGUCAGUUUGUUUUAGAUUUAUGAGUUUGACUGUCCCGUUGGUAUCUUUCGUCCCUCUUUUAAGCGUUCGAACAUGUAUAUAAAAACAUAUUCGCAGGAUUGAAUCUGUUUGACGAGUACAUUUCACCUAAAUCUUUUCAGACAUUUGAUACUGGACAUAAUAAACAACUGCAAGAUCCUUCUACCAGUUUACAUAGAGAUUGAGAGAUGUAUGUUUUAUUCGCCAUCCACAUUAGCAGUAAGUCAGAGAACUGCUUAUCUAUUUAUAUAAUGUUCAAUUUGAUCAAAACUGUAACAGAUGAAUAACGACAUUAACAUAUGUCUUUGUACAUAUAUUCUGCACCAAAAAGCAAAAAGCCAUUAUUUGAAUAAUUCUAUAUCAUCAAUUAGACCAUUCUCUCUAUUCUUUAUUCAUUGUGUCUAUUAUUCUAUAUCAUUUAUGUCUUAGCACACUAUUAUUCUCUAUUCUUUAUUCAUUUGCCUAUUUUCUACAUGCUGUAUGUUCUGUCUUAAUUCUGCACUUUGUGUCCAUUAUUCUAUACAAUGUUAAUCCCAUCCCUUAUAUGUGUAAAAACGGAUAUUGAAUUUCUUAUCGGUCAAAAUAACAAGAAAUAUGAUAACUCAUUGACGUUGUAUACCAGAAGACUUCUUUUAUUUUUCGUCACGUUUGUCAGUAGAAUUACAUAAAACAUUGACAUAGUUGCACUCGUAAAUAUUUAGGUUUUACAUUACAUAAUUGUAAAGGUGUUUAGGACAACCUGUAUCUUGAAAAAGGUCAAGUUAGCAAGAGCGCUGGGUUCUAUGAAAGAUGACAUCGAUGACAUCGAUGCUUUGCAUGUUUAAGAAUCUUUAGUUUUAAAAAAAAAAGAUUUCAAAACACACAGUGCGAUACGAAACACCGUUUGGAUUAUGAAAAGACGCUCAAUAUUUAGUCAUUUAGAUUGAUAGUUUCAACCAGAAAUAACUGAUGCUUUGGUUAUCCAGUGGGAAAGAUAAAAGAGAGACGAAAAAUACCAGAGGGACAUCCAAACAGAGUCGAAUAAAAACUGACAAUGGCAAGGCUAAAUAAAAAAGACCAACAGACAAACAAUAGUACAUAAAACACAACAUUGAAAUAAAAAGGAUAAGGAAUAAGAACCCCAUCAAAAAGCUGAGGGUGAUCUCAGGUGCUACGGAAGGGUUAAGGAAAUCGUGUAUGAAAAGAUGAAGUAAAUUGAAGUAUAAGCAAGACGUAUUAAUUGCAAAAUAAAAGUAGAACGCAGAGAUGCAAGGGUUGCUACAGAUUGCAACAUUCACAAACAGAUCUAUCCUGACGAUACAAACUUUGCAUAAACUAUUUAUGACGUCUUUGCACUAAAUUCAUCGAAUGUGUACUGGAUGAUUGAAAAUAUGGUUUAUUCAUUAUUUGGAAUUAGCUUUGAACUUGGUUUUGUCAGUAUUCUUAGAUAAUCUAGCCUUUUCAUCAAAAUUUGGGUUUUUAAUGUAAAAUUAGAAUAAUAGGUGAAAAAGCCUUUGUGAGACCUCGAAAUUGAAGGUAAAAUCCUUUUCCUUUAUUAAGCUAUUGUUAAUCAAUAAAAAAUCACAAAACAAAUAAUCGUGAUUUGGUACUAGCUGUUAUCAAAGGGAGACAAUUCAAUCUCAAUCUCAAUGUGUUUAAAUCCCAGGAAAGAUAAAUCUUGUUACACGUGGGGAUAGCUCAUCAACUAUAGUCUAUUUUUAAAACAUCUUCUAGAUAUGUAUUUUGCUUAACCAUGUUUUAUAAUUAAUUUCUCAUUUUGGGAUCGCAAAGUAAACUUUAGUAGAAACCCUGAAUAAUUAUUUGCUAUGUAAUCUUUGUGGUUUUAUGAAAAGAUAGUUUGUAUUGUGUGCGUUGAGGCCUGUAGUUGAUAGUAAAAAAAAAUAUGCAUGGGAGUUGAAAACGAGAUGUGUGAAAAAAUGGCCAUUAUUUCAAGGCAAACAAAUCUGACUCGUAAUUUUUGCAUGUAGGAAAGUAAUCAGGUGGUAUAAUAUAAUUUGUCGCCGAAUGAUGGGUUGUUAAUGGGUGUGAGUCAUUGUAACACUGAUAAGGGGGUGGACAUAAUUAUGGGAACUAUGGAAUGAGAGUACUAGAAAUGAGAAUUUGAUGGAUGAAAGCUUGAGACAGGGUGUUUUUAAUCGUGAGAAAAGUGUUGUUAAAACAGGGUUAAUGCAUGUUGAUGAAAAAAUAGGAGUGCAGGGGAAUAGAAUAUGGAGUGAAGUAGGAUUUUAGGGAGGGAACGUGGAAUCAAUUCCCCUGUCCACCAAAUAAUUGAAACCCAUUAAAGAAAUAAGGGAGCGGGGGUCUGACAUGUAUGUAUACGUAAACGGAUCAAUUAUGCAGGGAAUGCAGACCACAGAUUGCUCUUAUUUAACAACUGAUAAAUAGAAAGACGAAUGUAAUAGUGCUAUCUAAGUUUAAAAAAAAAAUUAAAACAAUAAAUAAUUUAAUCAAUAGUAGAUUUUUGAUUAUGUAGACCAACAGUAGAGAAAUGUAGCUUUGGAUGACCGUAUAAGUUAAAAAUGCAUCCAACAGUACACAACAUCCCUUGGUGGGACUAAACUUCAGUCCGCAAACAUCUUAAUUAGUUAGAGAUGUCAACAACCAUAUACAACUUUAGCCUAGGCAGCCCUGUAUAGCGAUAUAGAGUGCUUGCAAUCAACUAUCUUCUUAUAAACGACUUAUAUAAAAUGAUUAAGUCUUUCAACAAAAGUUAUAAAUGAUAAGCAACGCUGCAAAUAUUGAACUUUAGAACAUAAAUAAUUAUCUUUAAUAAUGAAUUUAAAACAGGAAGAUCUUUUCAAUUUAUUAAAUAUGUACUGAAAAGUUGCAUGUAAAUCGUUAAAUAAGGAAACACGCAAUUUCAAUUUUUAAACAAGGGAAAUAAUAUUUACAUGACAAUCCUGUCUUCCAAAUGCAUUUUAAACAUUUUGUUUUUAUCAACAAUUACUAUUUAAAAAAAAAAAAAAAAAACACACUGAAGAUAACAUGUAUUUUAGUUGCAACAACUUUAUUAUGGAUAAAGAACUGCCAACCUGUACCAGAAACAACUAAUGGUUUGGAACACACUAUACACUAUGAACGACAACUCGACCUAGAAUGUUACUCACAUUUGUUCAUAAUGUAAACAAACACGCAUAUAAAAAAAACGGUAGUAUGUAGCAUUUAAAGACAACCAGAAUGCUGUAGUAAAGAUCAUCGAGAAAUUGAUCUGGUUUGCCGCCCGGAGAUGCCGAUAAGUGAUAUUUUACAAAAUCAUGUUGGAAGGGAUGCAUUGUCCUUGCCAAAAUUACAAUUAAUUCAGGUAUCUAGCAUUAUUAACGUAUAUCGAUACCACGAUAAUACAUUGAUAAUACUGCCUUGUUAAAUAUAUCUUAAAAACAAAGAAUGCAGCAAUAGUUCUGUCGUCGACGGUCAAAGAAAAAAAUCCUGAUGAUAAAGCAUGCAAUUCCGGAAAUUGACCGUCUCCAAAAAUAUUAAAUUCUAAAAUUGAGUUAUCGUCCUUUUCGCGCCAGACGACUAUUGAAAAGGCUAUUAGAUAGGUAUACUAUGUUUUUUUUUAUUUUUCUUUUGUGGCAAUCUGAUGAAUUAAGCCUUUUACAGCUGAUUGUUCAUUGUUUGUUCUUAUUUAGUGCUGUCAAACCACUAUUAGGGUGGGGGUGAACGCCCACACAUAUGUUGAAUGCAGCCACAUUCUUUAAUUGCAUGCACCCGUGACUCUUUAGCCAGGGUUUACUGCUGGCUAUCCUGUGUUUCUUUAUUUGUAUAGCAUAGCUUGAAAGUAGCGCCCCUUUGAUUAGAUAAUAUAUCACUAACCGACUAUGUAAAUUGCUAGAAAAAAGUAUGUACUAUUUUCUAAGACAGCUUUCAAAUUUUUAAAUUCAUGUCUUGAAAAGUAUACUUUAAUUUUUUUGAAUUUUCAGAAAUCCAACAUCCCUGUUACUUCGACUUUAUAAGGGUUUCCUGUUAUGCACAUUAUACCCAUAAUGCAUUUUCAAAAUUAGGAUACAAUCUCACGGUUAUAACAAUUAAAAUCACACCAGUAAUACACGAACAAUGAUAACAAACAGGAAAUUAUAUGUAUGAUAAAAUUAUGUUAGUUUAAAUAACGUUCAUGUGAACCUCAUUUAAAUGGUUAAGGUUUGGAUGUCAUAGAAUUAUCUCUCUUCAUUGUGAUGCACAUGGUCAAAGUCUGAUCCUUUGAAGCUAGUUUCAUUCGAUCGUGUAUAAGCAAGACGUACAAAUCGGAAUUUACCAAAGAUAAAUGAAAACAAUUUAUAAGAUAAAUAAAUUUGAUUUAUGUACCAGUCGUUAAGUAUAUACUCUUCCAUUAAUAAUUUAUUACCAGUGGAUUAUCGGAUUUAUCCAACCGAGAUAGUUAGGUUAUCAAUUUUUAAUGUCCGAGGCUCAGCGAUGAUUAUCAAAGAAAUUUUCAUUUUUGAUAAAUGAAAAUCCCUUCGAGUGCCUUCCACAUUACACAAAGUUGUCAAUUUCAACAAGACCCGUUUAGGCAUUUUGAUUCAUUCUGCAGUUGAUAAAAGUUAUGAUCCGUAAACUCAUCCAAUACACUUUUGAGAUAAUCGGCAACCACACGUUCAUUAGAUUUGUGUUUAUAAAAUGGGUGAAGAAAGGGUUAAAAUGCCACAAGAAUAGACACAUUUUAACAUCAAACAUCUCUAGCUACCAUGAAGAAAAGACUUAGUUUAUGCAAUAAAUCAAAUAGCAUCUAUGUAAAACUCAGAUCGACGUACGGUCUCUAAUUGACGUCCAGUCCUCAAAUCGACGUCCACAUCUGACAAAAUAGUAAAAUAACAUUACAAAUCAACGUUCAAAUAUUACGAAAUAAUAAAAUAUCAUUCCAAAUCGAUGACAAAUUUUAUGUCCCUCUAAUGGACGUCUUUUUUGUUUUUCUCAAAUCGACGUCCUAUUUAUUUUAUAUUAUAUAUUAUAUGAAGCAUGUUUUAAAAAACGUAAUAAAUGUAGACCCGCGAGUCAUGCUAGACUCGCUUUUAUAAACUCAUUACGUCACAUUGGAUGUCGAAUAGAGGGUCAAAUUAUUGGAGACUGAUUUGAGAACGUGACGUCAGAUUUUGACGUCGAUUUGAGGAACGGACGUCGAUUUGAGGAACGGACGUCGAUUAGAAACUAGACGUCGAUCUGAGUGUACAUAUAUACUUUACAAAAGAUCAAAAUAUAAUAAAUCAGGUCAACCUCGGUCUCAUACAAACAUGAACCUGCACAAUUUUACGUUUUGUGAAGAUACCAAGGAGCCAUAAGAUUAAAAUGUUUUGAAAAGCGGCAAUAACCCGAUCAAACUGAGAAAAAAAGCCUCCCAAAAUUUGAUAAAAAAUAAUCAAACUACUAAGUGUAGCAGAGACUAUAAUUUAUUUACGAACUUAAGAUUGAGCAACAUAAACCCAGAAUAAAAAAGAAUUUCGAUUCUAAAUUAGAAUGUCAUUAGAACCGAAGACAGGUAGCUCUGGACUAUUUAAUAUAAUAAAUGAUUGUGUAUAUGAAUUUCAGUUAUAUUGAAUAUAAGUUUGUAUUUGUCACACCUCAUAGUUUAAAGUUUAUAUGGCAAUACAAAUUUGAGUUGAAAAAAAAACCAAUUAUGUCAAUUGUUCAUCUUUUUGAAACUAAUCUUAGUUCUCACUUAUUCUGCAUUUUUUUCAAUCCAUUUGUAAAACAUCAAUGGUUUGUCUGUUUAUAUUUUUAACGUCAAGUUGUCACGAAUAUGUAGAACCAAAAUCGUUCAUAUUAAUAUAAUAUAAUGUUUGAAAUUCAAAUACAAUCACUCUCUUACCUGACUAUUUUAAUUCUAGAUCGGCAUUAAUUAUCAGACAUAAUUCAUAUCAAAUAUAGAAAUAAAAUAAUAUUUCUGCGUAAUCGUUCUAUAUGAUUUAAGGUAGGUGUGAAUGAUAUCUUUACAGAAGGGAGAUAUAUAAUACAGAGGAACUUUGAUAUGGAUGCAAAGAAGAACAGGUGAACAUUCAGUCAACAAUGAAACUUACACAUAUUUCUGUUUUUAUGUUUUUAAUGCUCGGAACUUUUGUCCAUACCUGGCCAUGGAGAAUACCAAAACAGUACUUAAAGAUCAUUCAACGUAAGUUAUUUUUAUAUCAUUAAGUUUGUAUUAAUAUUUUAUAUUUUUUAAACAUUGUAAGACUUUUGAACAUCGGUAUAAAACAACGUUCGCCUUAAUUUAGAUUGUGUUGAGAAUGCAGGAAUUUUAAAUGGAAGCAAUUAAUUUCAAUAUACUUUACCAUAAGUUUAAUGGAACCUGUUGCUAGUCGUUUCACCUUAAACUGAAAUAUUAGGUUUAGUUAUUUUUUUUUAUAUUUUUUUUUACAGCAAACAGUAUUGUUACUACUGGUUUAAAUUUCUUUUUCAGUAAAUCUUGUAAUGUUGAACUUUGAAUAAUACCUUGUUCCAUUGAGACGAUGUUUAAGAAUUUGUGGAAACAAAUUAAGAUUCUGUACUGUCAUCGUCAAGUGAUCAGCCAAUAUCCGCUGUCCAACCUAUAAUACACAGGAGAAUAAGUCUCGUGAAUUAAGCAUGCAUUUUUUUUUAUCACGAUAAGCUUACCUUUGAUAUCUUACAAUUCAGAGAAUAUUAUCUUAAGCAGUAAUGUCUUCAGUUUAUUCCCUCAUUUUUAUAAAAGAAACGUGUUUUUCAUGAGUUGGCUUUAUGUCUUCUAAAAAACUGCAACGUCUUUGGAUAUAUUAUGAUUGUGGUAAAUUUUUCCUUAACAUAAAGUAAUAAUUUUGUCGACAAACAAGUAAAUGGAGCUAUUUAAUUUAGCAAUUGGAUUGACGGCACACUUGACCAGAUUCCAAUAGAAAAAAAAUAACGUGAACAUUUUGAUUAAACUUAUAAAGAGCACAAGCAUUAUAUAAAAAACUUUAAUAAACGGGUAGAUAAAUAUUAUCCUAAAUCCGUGUGAAUAUCUCAUUGGGCUAGGAUUUUGGUUUAAGUAAACGAUUAAGAUUUUAUUUAUGUUCGCUAUUUAUCUAAAUUCUAUCUCGUAUUAACUGUAUAAUCCAUGAGAAUGAAAAACGCUAAAUGAAAAAUAACAAUUUUAUAUCCACUGUAACAUUUUGCAAAUUGAAAUUAAUUUGAAAUAAAAGUUAAGCAUAAAAUCUUAUAUUCUGUAUGCAUUGGCAAAAUACAAAAAGGAUACAUUGUGGUUUAAGAUGAUCAUUUUUAUGGUCUAAAUUAUGAAUCAAAUGUGAACAUGGUUUUUCGAAAUACUAAGGACGUUGUACCCAUGAAUAGGAGACCCCAGAUUUAACAAAUCUUUGGGUUCUCAUACCAAAACCUUAUUUUGGCUAUUAACUUUUUUUCUCGAAAAUUUGGGUUCUUAAUGCUCUUUGACUUCCUACUUAGUUUUGUGCAUUUUUCUUUUUUGAUUAGGGCUUAACUUAUAAGUUAUUCUUAAAAAAAAUAGCGUCCGGUGUAAACAAUUAACUAUCCUGGUAUCUAUGAUGAGGUUAUUGAGAACCACAUGGUAGAAUCCAGUGCUGUUAAAGGCUUUUCUCCCCAAAGAUAUCACUAGACUAGUAUUAGGCACAUAUGUGUUGAAAUGAUUUAUCACUGAUAUGGUGAUAACGUAAUACAUUAAUUGUUGGGAAAACUUUAAAUGUUUUGAAAUUCUAAGUAUUUUCUUCCACUGGAUUUGCAAAAUAUUUCGGAAUUUCUGGACUUCGAUGCUCUUCAACUUCGUUCUUUAUUUGUUCUAUUUAAUUUAUUUUAUAUUGAAGUGUCAACGAUGAUUUUGUAGACGAAAUGUACGUCUGGCGUUUACAAAUUUGUAAUCCUGAUAUUUAUAAUUAUUUUAUUCGUACGUUAUUUGACAUAUUAAUUUUAUUUGAUUUAAGUGUCAUCGAGUUAUUUUUUUACAGUCGAAACGCGCUUCUUGUCUACAUAAUUUUCAUAAAGUUUGAAAAAUACGAGAGACAAUUUAAGAUGUACGCUGCUAUUUUAAGAUCAAAAUGAAGAUAACUUAGUUAAUGUUAUAUCAAAGAGUAAGUUACAAUACUCUUUAUACGUAUCAUAGAUGCAGAUCUUGUGUUUCAGUUUUGACGUCAAAAUGGAGGUUUUCUUCUAUUAAACGAAUAUUUCAACAAAUUCAAAUUUCGAAUUACAUAACUUCUUGUGUGUCUAAAAUUUCUGAAAGCAGUUCUCGCUAAAUUUUUAAUUGCAUCAAAUGUUGUUAUGUCACAACAACAAUGUAAUACUUUUCUAGCUCCGUGUCCAUUACACAGAAAAGUGGAUGCCAAUGAUAUUUAAUGGUUCUCGGUUGGUGUCAUGCCUGUCUAAUAUCAGUCUCUGUCAUGGUCUUUGAAUUUAAAAAUGUAUCAGGUUUUACAAUGUUAACCGUGUUUUCAAUUGCAUCCUUCAUAUAUAGACGCUCAAAAUUUUGUGCCAUAAUCAAUUCAGCGGUAAAUCUGUUUGCUUUAAUAUUCUGUUUGAGCGUCACUAAUGUUUCUUUUGUAGACGAAAUGCACGUCUUGCGUACUUAAUUUUAAUCUUGAUAUCUAUAAAUGAAAAAGGUUGUUUACCACUGGAUCAAUGUCACUGGUGGUGGAGAUUCCCCGAGAGUAUCCCGCGAUAAGUAGUCAUUUGUGUCGACAAGUAUUAUCAUUGCUAUAGUCAUAAUUAUUAAUCAACCGUUACAUUUUUUUUGUAAAAAUUGCAAAAGAUUUUCUGUCAAGGAAAGAGUUUUUAUUUUUAUUUUUCAAAAUCUUUCUCAUUUCUGUUUUAACUUCGUUUUUUGCCUUUAUAAUUUAUUCAUUCGAGCUUCAAUGAACACCGGUAUUCUUCUGUUACUUUUGUGUAUCUUUUUUUAAUGUGACCUACCGAAUUAGACUAUUUACCGGGUCUAUUUAUCUGGAGCAGAAACUGCUUACCCUUCUGGAGCACCUGAGAUCACCCAAGAUUUGGCGGAGUUGGUGUUGCGUAGUCUUUAGUUUUCUAUGUUGUGUCUUGUGUACUAUUAUUUGUCUGUUUGUCUUUUCCCUUUUUAACCAUGGCGUUGUCAUUUUAUUUUUGAUCUAUGACUGUCCCUUUGGUAUCUUUCGCCCGCCCCUCUUUUCUAGAUAAAAAGCGCGUCUAGCGUAUCUAAUUUAAAUUGUGAUAUCUUUUGUGAUUUUUUAUGCCCCACCUACGAUAGUAGAGGGGCAUUAUUUUUCUGGUCUGUGGGUCCGUUCGUUCGUCCGUCCAUUCGUCCCGCUUCAGGUUAAAAUUUGUGGUCAAGGUAGUUUUUGAUGAAGUUGAAGUCCAAUCAACUUGAAACUUAGUACACGUUCCCUAUGAUAUGAUCUUUCUAAUUUUAAUGUCAAAUUACAGUUUUAACCCCAAUUUCAGUGUCCACUGAACAUAGUAAAUGAUAGUGCGAGUGAGGUUACCGAGUACUGUGGACACAUUCUUGUUGGUAAUACUUAGAAUGCAGUCACAAUCAGCAUUUUGUUUAAAUUUUAUACGUUUUCAGAUAUGAUGAUUUGACGACAGACGUUUUCCAUGGGAUAGCAGAGAAUAAUGCAGAGCUAACGCAACAAAUUACAUGAACUUCAUAAUAAAUUAAGCCCAGCAUGCAAUAUUUUGUUAUUCCCUAAGCGAGAUUUGAACCAUUGCUUCUGUUUUAUUACUCAUAAAGAUAAGCUCUGAAUUUAUGUUAUAAGAUGGUAUACACUGUUUAAAUAUGUAGUAAACAAACACAUAAGGGAUAACAAUUUGAAAAUAUCUUUUUAUUUCAUCAUCUAGAUUGCAUUUAAAAAGUUAAUUUGAAUAAAAUCAAUUAAUUUUUUAUAUUACCCAUUGACUUCAAUAUAUAGUUUUAAUGUCAAAUAUAUGAUUUUUUUCCAUUAGCGAAAACGCGAAGCCUCACUAAUAACUGUUUAUCAAAUAUAUAACACAAAUGAACUUCAAUAAGUGGCUACCAUUGAUACUCAUUCGACGAUCGCGCAAGAUCCGAUGGAUCUGAUUCAGAAUAUAAAUCAGAGUGGCUGUUCCCCUUGACUCUCUUCCAUGUUGAAUUAUCUAUGCAUAAAGCAGAAAGAGAAAUAUAUGAAAUAGUAUUAUUUUUUUUGAUUCUAUGUGUAUGAAAAAAAAAUUAGUAUAGGAUUUGCAUUUUUUAAGUCCUUUGUUUAAAAGUACAUAUAACGUUUAGACAAUGAACCAAUUUGAAUGAAAACACAAAAGCCAGCUAGGAGUGUUUAUACAAUAAAGAAUAGACAAGCAACUACAUUUUUGUCUUUAAAUUCUCCACUUUCAUUUUUAUGUCUUAGUAUCUUGAACGUUUUUUCUUCAUUGAGGAACAUACGUUGAAUACUUGAUGUUUAUUUUUGACUAUUUUUCUGGUUUUUUGACUCUACUCACGUUGUUGUUUAACCCAUAUCGCCGUGAUACAACUUAAGGUGGUACCUUGCACCUUCACGAAAAUUAAUUUGGCUAGUUUAAUUUUCUUAAAAUUUUUACAGAGUAUUUACUUUGACCCUUUGACAAAAAUGUAAAAAUUUCCAAAAAAUUGAACCAACCAUUUUAUCAGAAAAAUUACACUAAUUAUGAUCAUUGAGAAGCUUAAUAUUCUCAUAACAACAAAACGUAAUUAAAACGUUUAGCUGAUUUUACAGAGUUAUCUCCCUGUAGUGUUAGAUACCACCUUAAUGAAUGAUAAAGGAUAUUUGAUCCUUAAAAGUGAGAAUGGUGGGAGGAUAUCAAAGAAGUGAAGAAAAUCUAAUAUUCAAAAUUAAUAAUUGUGGUUUUAAAAUGUUUUUUGUCUCAGUUUUUCCUGUCGUUAUUUAGUAACAUAAGCUAGUGCUAAAUUUUUUUUUAUGAAAAAAUGAAAUUAGAUUAACUUAAUUAGUUGGAAAAAAUGAUCAGAGAGAAUAUGGUUUCUUUAAUAAAGUACAUAAAAUUUCUGAACAUCUUAUUCAAUGGGCAGAUUCACAAAUGUCUCGGCAUGGUAUAUAUUUCCUAUUGAAACCAAAAAAAAAAAGGAACUGGCUUUGAAUGAAUUCUCAAAUAACGCACCAUGAUUUACAAAGGAAACAGAUUUCUAUUAUAUUCCUGUAAAAAUAAACGUGUAGCAAGCGGUUCCUUCUGCAAUGAUCUUUAUCAUCUCUUUUUUGUUAUGCAUUUUUUUUCAAAAUAGUUUGAUCAAAUUAUCGCUUAUUAUAAAAACAAUGCAGAAAAAUAUUCCUCUAGGACUUGGAAAGUGAAUAUCUAAUUGAUUUAUGUAUUGUAUUAUUGUUUGAAUUCAUCUUUGAAAGAACACUUUUUUAAUUGAAUAAACUUAAAAGUCUGCUAUAGGUUUUUCCCAAAACUUAAUCAUGUAAUCUUAUUUUACGAAAGCACAGAGAACAUUUGAAUCGAAUAAUUACGUAUACAUUGAAUAUUUAUGUUUUAAACCAUACCGUCUAAAUUAAGGCGCAUAUUUUAUUAACUUAUUUUAAAUGGAUAUUACAUUUUUGUUUUAAGAUAUGAUUAUAUAUUAGUACCUUGUAUAAUUCAUAUCAAAUGAACCUAAGCAAAAUAUAUUAAAAAUCUAAAUACUGAAAUAAUGAAGCGUAUUUCUCUUUCUCUUAUUUUAGUUUUGAAUUUGAGAAAAAUAUUGAAGCCUCAACUUUUUCGUUUUAAUAACUGUGCAGUAUGAAGUUGGAUAUCUAUACUAUUAAACGAGAAGACCUCAUUUUGUGUGUCGCUUCUCUUCCUUCCACAAUAAAUCAAUCAUCAUGCCUCUGUGUCCUAUAGGUAACAUUCAUAGUCGCAUUUGUCAUCCAUUCUAAUGAUUAUUUAGAUUGAGUAAUUUUGGGAGAACAACGACAAAAAAGGAGUCCGGAUAUGAUUCCGUGAUCAAACUGUCUUUUAGUCAUAGAUAAGACUUCCGGUUUGAAACAUGCACAAAUACAACCAAUCGUAUGAUAGAUAACAAAAAUGAAAAAUAGAUAAGCCAAUCAAAGCGUUCUCCAUAUCAUUGUGUUUAGAUCGCAAAAAUCACAACUAUUUUACCUCCUUAGAGAGGACAAUUAUUUUUCGCGUUUAUCUACAUGUAAACUACAAUUAUACGUUAAUAUAUAGAGACUCUCUGUAUUCUGUCUACUGUUUUUUUUUUAAAUGUUUACUAUUUAAGGGAUCAUACCAGUUGCAUAUAUAUUAAAAUAAGUAAAACAUGUGACACAAGUACAAUCAAUCGUAGAGCGUCCUCCAUAUCAUCAGUAGCCUUUUCAAUAGUCGUCUGGCGCGAAAAGGACGAUAACUCAAUUUUAGAAUUUAAUAUUUUUGGAGACGGUCAAUUUCCGGAAUUGCAUGCUUUAUCAUCAGGAUUGUUUUCUUUGGCCGUCGACGACAGAACUAUUGCUGCAUUCUUUGACUCUAAGAUAUAUUUAACAAGGCAGUAUUAUCAAUGUAUUAUCGUGGUAUCGAUAUACGUUAAUAAUGCUAGAUACCUGAAUUAAUUGUAAUUUUGGCAAGGACAAUGCAUCCCUUCCCCUGAAAACAUGAUUUUGUAAAAUAUCACUUAUCGGCAUCUCCGGCGGCAAACCAGAUCAAUUUCCCGAUGUUCUUUACUACAACAUUCUGGUUGUUUUUAAAUGCUACAUACUACCGUUUUUUUUUAAUUAUAUGCGUGUUUGUUUACAUUAUCAACAAAUGUGAGUAACAUUCUAGGUUGAGUUGUCGUUCAUAGUGUAUAGUGUGUUCCAAACCAUUAGUUGUUUCUGGUACAGGUUGGCAGUUCUUUAUCCAUAAUAAAGUUAUUGCAACUAAAAUACAUGUUAUCUUCAGUGUGUUUUUUUCUUUUUUUUAAAUAGUAAUUGUUGAUAAAAACAAAAUGUUUAAAAUGCAUUUGGAAGACAGGAUUUUCAUGUAAAUAUUAUUUCCCUUGUUUAAAAAUAGAAAUUGCGUGUUUCCUUAUUUAACGAUUUACAUGCAACUUUUCAGUACAUAUUUAAUAAAUUUAAAAGAUCUUGCUGUUUUAAAUUCAUUAUUAAAGAUAAUUAUUUAUGUUCUAAACUUCAAUAUUUGCAGCGUUGCUUAUCAUUUAUAACUUUUGUUGAAAGACUUAAUCAUGUUAUAUAACUCGUUUAUAAGAAUAUAGUUGAUUGCAAGCACUCUAUAUCGCUAUACAGGGCUGCCUAGGCUAAAGCUGUAUAUGGUUGUUGACAUCUCUAACUAAUUGAGAUGUUUGCGGACUGAAGUUUAGUGCCACCAAGGGUUGCUGUUUACUGUUGGAUGCAUUUUAAACUAAUACGGUUAUUCAAAGCUACAUUUCUCUACUGUUGGUCUACAUAAUCAAAAAUCUACUAUUGAUUGAAUUAUUUAUUGUUUUAAUUUUUUUUUAAAACUUAGAUAGCACUAUUACAUUCGUCUUUCUAUUUAUCAGUUGUUAAAUAAGACCAAUCUGUGGUCUGCAUUCCCUGCAUAAUUGAUCCUUUUACGUAUACAUACAUGUCAGACCCCCGCUCCCUUAUUUUUAAUGCUUUCAAUUAUUGGUGGACAGGAAUUGAUUCCACGUCCUCCCUAAAAUCCUAUCACUCCAUAUCUUUCCUGCACUCCUAUUUUUCAUCAACAUGCAUUAACCCUUUUUAACACACUUUUCUCACGAUUAAAAACACCCUGUCUCAAGCUUUCUCCAUCAAAUUCUCAUUUCUGUGCUCUCAUUCCAGUCCCAUAAUUAGUCACCCCUUAUCAGUGUUACAAUGACUCGCACCCAUUAACACCCUCAUUCGCGACAAAUUAUAUUAUACACCUGAUUUCUUUCUACAUGCAAAAAUUACGAGUCAGAUUUGUUUGCCUUGAAAUAAUGGCCAUUUUUUCACACAUCUCGUUUUCAACUCCCAUGCAUAUUUUUUGUUUACUAUCAACUACAGGCCUCACGCACACAAUACAAACUAUCUUUCACAAAACACAAAGAUUACAUAGCAAAUAAUUAUCAGGGUUUCUACUAAAGUUUACUUGCAUCCCAAAAUGAGAAAUUAAUUAUAAAACAUGGUUAAGCAAAAUACAUCUAGAAGAUGUUUUAAAAAUAGACUAUAGUUGAUGAGCAUCCCCACGUGUAACAGAUUAUCUUUCCUGGAUUUAAACACAUUGAGAUGAGAUGAAUUGUCUCCCUUUAAUAACAGCUAGUACCAAAUCACGAUUAUUUUUUUGUGAUUUUUUAUUGAUUAACAUACUUAAUAAAGAAAAGGAUUUUACCUUCAAUUUCGAGGUCUCACAAAGGCUUUUUCACCUAUUAUUCUAAUUUUACAUUAAAAACCCAAAUUUUGAUGAAAAGAAUCUUGGUGUUUAGAUCGCAAGAAUCACAACUAUUAUACCUCCUUAGAGAGGACAAAUAUUUUUCGCGUUUAUCUACAUGUAAACUACGAUUAUACUACUUUAAUAUAUACAGACUCUCUGUAUUCUGUAAGGGAAUUUCUAUGUUAGUAUAGAAAGUCCCUGAUUCUGUUUACUGUUUUCUUUGAAAUAUUUACUAUUUAAGGGGUCAUACCACUUGCAUAUAUAUUAAAAUUAGUAAAACAUGCUCAACUUCAUCUAAAACUACCAAAAACUUUUACCUGAAGUGGGACAGUCGGACGAAACGGACGGACGGACGACCGAACAAACGAACGCACGGAUGUGCAGACUAGAAAACAUAAUGCCCAUAAUUGGGGCAUAAAAAUUUAUUGUUUAAAGGGAAAAUAGUGAUUUGGCAAAAAAUAAUUAGAAAGGUAGAGAUUAGAAGGAUGCAGGACCUUUUUCGGGGCGUCGGGAUCGGGUGCUUUUAAGCUCGGGACUUGGGGAUUGAUCCUUACGGGAUCCGGGAAAAUAUUUUUCGAUUUUGGGAUAUGAAUUUCUUUAAAUUCUGCAUCUCGGGAUUUUAUGGUUUUAAGCCCGGGAUUUCGGGAUCAGGACCCCUCCGGGCAACCCUUCAAAUUAGCCUUAGUCGGUAUUAAUCAUUUAUACACGAUUUAAAUCCUACCAUUGGCAUGUUAAUAAGGCUCUCAAAGAAAAAAGCACUGAUAAAUUGUCAUAGAAGCAUAUUUUUUAGACUAAUAAUGGUCUAUAUAUAAGCAGUUACAUUUAUUUCAUGUUUGAAACGGUGCAAAUUUUUAAUUUGAUUUGACUUUUACCAAAAAGAAGCAUUGUAGCAAAGGAGAAUAAUUGUGGUCGUAGGCCAGAAACACGAAUAUAAUUGAAUUUAACAGAAAGGAAACACAUAUCGGACUUUGAAAAAAGGGAGAGGGCUUUUGAUACCUUUUAUGUAAUUCUCCAUACAUAAUAUCUUUUACAAAAAAUCAUACUACAACAGUUCACAAGCUGUAUAUGCCCGCGAUUUCGCGGGUGUGUUUUAGUAUUAUUUAUAUUUGGAUUUUGCCUUUCGUAAUGGACCUUUCGUUUGAAUUUUUCUUGGAAUUUUUUGUUGUUGCUUUUUAUAACUUACGAACAGCCCUUGUUUGUGUAAAUGACUUUCAUCAUGAACGGUGGGAACAAAGCAUUAAUUGAGAAAGAAAAUUAAAUAUAAGUACGUGAAAGAGUUACUGUUCACAUUUUGGCUGUUAAUUUUGUUUUGCAAAUCCCUUUUUAGCAGAGCCUCAAUUAUUAGAACGUUUGUGAGGAUAAAAGGACAAGUAAGGAAUAAUGGUCUUGGUUUAGAAAAUAUACACUGAAUAAAAAUUAUCUACAGUUUAUCAUACAUGUCGUUUAAUAUUACAAAUAUAACAAAACAAAAGGAACACUUGUACCUUGUAAGCAUGAGAAUGGAAAUAAAGUCUACGAUAACUAUCAAAAGUCUAUUUAAUAUCCGGAAUGGAUUCAAAUUGCAUACAACACAAUUUUUAAGUUAAUAUAAGACAAUCGAUUCUUGGAACAGUUCUGAGUAAAUGAUAAGUAAUCUAUUGAUUUGGUUUGGAACUUUCAAUAAAAAUUCCAAAUCUCAGACAAGUUAUGUAAUGAAACAGAAUUAUUAUAAUUGACAAUUAUGUACUCUAAAAGAAUUUCUAUUCUGUCUGUUCUAAAUAAUUAUAAAUGUAACAUGUGUGAAGCAUCCUUUCAAAGUUAAUAGUGCAGGUGUACUGGCUAGCCAUAUUAACUGCGCAAUAAUAAGCGACAAAAAGUCAUUUAAAGUCAUUUAAAAUAGCGACUAGAAGCAAUCAUUUUGAUAUAUAGUAGUUUAAAUGUAUACACAUAUUUAAAGAAGAAAAGCAUAAAACACAUCCAACUUCAAAGGAAAGACCGAGCAAGACGACAAAUUUGGGAAUGAAAUAAGGUGCUCCAGGAUUACAUACAGCGGGGCAUCCAUCGCGUUCGGCACUUUGUCAGAACUAAUGUCAACCACUUUCACAAAACCAGGGAAAUUAAAACAUUCUUAAAAUAGAUGUGUCAAAUAAAGGCAACAGUAGUAUACCGUUGUUCAAAACUCGUAAAUCUAUGGACAAAAACAAAAUCGGGGUAACAAACUAAAACUGAGGGAAAUGCAUUGAAUAUAAGAGGAGAACAACGGCACAACAUUAAAAUGUAACACACACAGAAACGGACUAAGCAUUAGACAAAAUCCGAUGAGAAUAACAAAUAUAAUAUCAAAUCAAAACCAAAUACAUGAAUAUGAGAUAGAAAAGUACCGUGACACGUCUUAUAGUAAUGUGAAUUUACACUCAAAUAGAACAGAAAACAAACGACACAACGGAAAUACAACGUAAAAAUGUUACACACAGAAACGAACUAUGAUAUAACAAUGGCCAUUUCCUGACUUGGUACAGGACAUUUUUAAAGACAAAAAUGGUGGGUUGAACCUGGUUUUAUGGCAUGCCAAACCUUGCACUUUAAUGGCAAUGUUAAAUAUAACAUUAAAAUGACAACAAAAUAUUACAGGACUACAUUGCAAAUAAAUAGGAGAACGUAUUAGGCAAAGAAACACAUGAAUAAUAGACGAUCAUAAGAAUGGCCCCGUCUCAAAAAGUUCAAAUUUCAAUAAAACUUGUGGAUACAAACAUGAUGGUAGUCUCACAUAUCAAAAAUCAGUUCAAAAUCUGGAUGCGUAUAGAAAAAAAGUCUGUAAUCUGUGUUUUCCAACAAUUUUCAAAGUUGUAAACUCUUAAUUUUGGCAAGAAUUAGGGGAGCGGAACAAAACUUUAACUUGAUCUGUAACUAAUCAUGAGUAACUCACAUACCCAAAAUCAGCCCAAUAUCUGAAAGCGUUGAGAAAAAAAGUCUGUAUAUCCGCGUCUUAUCAAUUGCUUUAGAAUGAAAGUGAAAUUUUAAAAAGAAGAAAGGAAAAAUGUAGACCUUUUAUGUUAUUAAUCUUUACAGAUUCUAACGUAUUAGAAUUUUAAACUUUGUCAGAAUGAGGUAAACUGAACUUUCAAUCUACACCAAGAAUACAGACACAACAAUUGUCUUAAUUUAAUGUAUCUUUGGUAAAGCAAUACAUUGAUAAAUAAGAUUACACAUGUAUAUGUGUAUACGUGUGCGUAAAGGAACACACAUUAAUAGAUAAUGGCGAGUCGGAAAGUGAUUAACAUUAUAACAAAUCCAUUUUUGACAUUUUUACCAUUUAUGUCUGUUUGUUUUGUUCAUACAUCGUUGUCAGUAUCAUAGCUUCAUGUAGCUUUAAAAUGAGACCAUUUUCUACAAAAGAAAAUACCUGCACCAAGUCAGGAAUAUGAUAGUUGUUAUCCAUUUGUUAGUUGUGUUUGAGGUUUUGGUUUUGCCAUUUGACUUGACAUUUUCUGUUUAAAAUUUUCCUCAAAGUUCUUUAUUUUUGUUAUUUUACUUUUGAAUGCAUUCAAAAUUGUAUAGUUAAAAUUAUGGGUCGAGUAAAUUGGUUUAGAAGUGAUUUGUAAACAAACAAGUUGAUUCAACGAGUUUCUUCGAUUGGUUUUGUUCGUGGCUGUCAGAAUCAGAAUCAGAAUCUGAAAUGGAUUUGUUAACUUUUUGUUACGGAGAAAACUAAUUUGAAUGCUGUAUUUGGACGGUAUAUUUAAAAUUUGAAUAAUUAUUAAGGAGGAUAUAAUAGAAAAAUAUUGAUACAUUUAGAAGAUCGUUAUGAGUGUUAGUUCUUAUGGUAUAUGUUAACGAUACCACUAUUCUCCCAAGUCUUUUACUAAAACUAUAUGCCACUUUAGAUAUUGAAUUGGUCGUAAUCUUAUAAAUAGCUGGUUCAAAUAUCUUACCAAUUGUAAAGUUGUUUAGUUAUGCAACAAAAGUAACAAAUUACCAAAAAAAUGUGAUUAUAGAUUUUUCUCAGAAAAUUUGUCUAUACUUUUUUAAAAAUUUUACAUGAGUAAUGUUUUAUUUUUGUUGUUGCUUCACUAACCUUUGAUCCACAACUUCUUUCAUUCUUGGAGUACUAUAUAUUCUGAACAUGUCUCUUCUAAAUGUACCAGUGAAAUUUUAAGCAUACUUUUUUUUUUAAAUCCAUGAUGUAUGACAAACGUAUAUAAAAAAAAUAGCCAGUCAAAUAAUGUGUAACCUGGGAGGAAAGAACACUCAUUUGCUUUCCCUUUUUAAUUUUAUAAUGUACUAAAAGUUUUAUAUCGGAAGAAUUAAUUUUGAAUGUUUCUUAUAAUGAUAGCGUUCAAAAUCUCUUGUUGUUUGUUUUUUUAUGAGUAGUGUAUAAUAAAAUUAUAUUGUUUUCUAGAAUGCCAUUGUCCACCAAAAUGUGUAUGGAAACUACGGUCUUGCCUACAGACAGGAAAAUGUGAACUCUGUCGGAAACCACCAUAUGGAAAACGACAGGUUUGUUUAAUAUCUUAUUAUUCAAAGCAUUCUUGAGCAAUUGGAAAAUAAUAAGUUGCAGCCAAAAAAAAAUACAUACAUUUAUACUUUCAGAUAAUAAAUGUAAUUUGUUGAAUUCAGUUCUACGAAUUUUCUAUACUGUUAAUAACUUUUAUAACUUAAAAAAACGUUUUUAAGAUAUGAUGGAUUACAAAAAGAUAUCUUCCAAAGAUUGUUUUUCGCCGAUUUAUUUUGCUUUCUAUACAUAUUUUAAAAGAAUUCAAUCAGUAAUAUUUCAGAAGAUAAUAGAGAUAAAUGGAUUAUUUCUUUUCUUUCUCAGUUUAAUCUACCAAUUAUAUUUGAUCGUAACAUCAUUUUGCCAUACAAUAGGUAGACAUCGUGUCAGGGAAAGCAUUAUUUAUAGCAUUUCUUGCAAUUGUUUUUCGACUUUUCUUGUGAAAAUUCUAUUCCAGUCUAUAUAAAACUAAUUUCCAAUUUAUCUCUGAAAACAUAAAAGCUUUAUAUAGAUUUUUGUUCAUGGUUUUAGUAUUAUACCAUUUGUCUUAUAUGUAACCAUACAAUUAAAGAUUACCUAUUUAUAUGUAACCAUACAAUUAAAGAUUACUUAUUUAUAUGUAACCAUACAAUUAAAGAUUACCUAUUUAUAUGUAAGCAUACAAUUAAAGAUAAACUAUUUAUAUGUAACCAUACAAUUACAAAUAACCUAUUUAUAUGUAACCAUACAAUUAAAGGUAACCAAUGUACAAGAUAUCACAAUAUUCUUAUAUAUGGGAUAUAAUUCUCGCGUUUACAGACAAUGGACAGAUACGAAAGUGAUACACAAACUCACAAGUCGAAAACAGACUGACAAUACAAUGACAAAAAAAUGAUCCAAACACAAACGACAUAGAAAACAAAAAACUUAGCAACACUAACACCCCCAAAAAUCGGGGGUGAUCUCAGGUGCUGUGGAAAGGUAAUCAGAUCCCGCUCCACAUAUUGCACCCAUCGUUUUUCACAUUUAAAUAUUGAAAAGUUUUAUGAAAACAAGUAUUUUCAUUGCAGGAUUCCCACAUGGCAGACAUUGAAUCCUCAGAUUAUCGGAAGCAAAAGACGUUUGAAGAUAUACAUAUGCUUGCUCUGUUAUGAACAGACUUGUCCGAACGGGAAAUUCAGCUCAUCGUUUUAUAUGCUGUGUCCUUUUAUUAAAUAGAUUUUUAUUGAAAUUAUUUUGUUAUCAUUUGAAAAGUUUGGCUUACACCCUUUUAUCACAAUGUUAUUUGAAGAACUAACAUAAGCAUUAUACGAAUGGAAAUUUAAAGCAGAAAAUUUACUAGUAUACUUAUGUUGUAAUUCACAAUAACUGUUUAAAAUCUUUCGAGUACAUUGAAAUUAAAAAAACAUAAUAUUGUUAUAAAAAUUACUUUGUUAGACGAUUUAGUACGCAACCAGACACCACUUAAAAAACCCACACCAACCAACUACUACGACUUUAUUUCUGUCACACUUUUUAACAAUAAUGAUGUAAAUUUUUCGUCAUACAAACCUUUAUGGAUUGUAAAUAAGGCAAAAAAGUUGAUAGCUAGUUACAUACAAGAUAUAAACUUAACUGCAAAACUGUAGUAGAAAAUCAUAGCAACGACAAAGUGCCAAUGUGUAAAAAUAAGUUAUUCAUUCUUUUUUAUAUAAAUUAGGCCGUUAGUUUUCUCGUUUGAAUUGUUUUACAUUGUGUUUAACAUUGUCAUAUCGGAGCCUUUUAUAGCUGACUAUGCGGUAUGGCUUUGCUCAUGUUGAAGCCGUACGGUGACUAUAGUUGUUAAUGUCUGUUCAUUGGUCUUUGUGGAGAGUUGUCUCAUGCAAUCAUACAAUCUCUUUUUUUAUAUGAUUUGAUAGAGAAAAAUAAGACAACAUCCACCAGAAUCAAAAUGACCAGACCUUACAACUCUAGUCACCGUACGGUCUUCAACAAUGAGCAAAGCCCAUACCGCAUAGUCAGCCAUAAAAAGCACCUACAUUACGAUUGUAAAACAAUUCAAACAAGACAGUCAACAACUUGAUUUACUACAAAACGAUGAACGAAAAUCAAAUAUGUACAUCAACAAACUAAAACUACUAUAUAACAGCUAGGCUACUGAUUUGUAACAGACACUUAUAGAAUGUGGCGGGAUUCAACUAGUCAAAUUGUUGGCACCAAUCUCGCCCCAAUGCUCGAGAAAUGCUCUUCAACUUUUUACUCGUUUUGCUAUAUAACUAUUUUGAUCUGAGCGUCACUGAUGAGUCUUAUGUAGACGAAACGCGCGUCUGGCGUAUUAAAUUAUAAUCCUGGUACCUUUGAUAACACAUGACAACCGUACAAUUUAAGAACAAAUUUAAAAAAUAGCUGACAAGGCCUGCAUAUAUAUAUAUAUUUUCAAGUUUUGAAAGAUAAGUUCAGAAAUUUCGAAGGCCGGACUUAUUUUUUAUUUUUUGUGUAUGUAAGCCACCAAUCAUAGUAGGAACAUUCAAAUUUUUAGAAGAGGCAUUAAGCUGUGAUGUGGUUAUGAUAUUUUUUUUACUAUAUGACUCUUUGUAGAAGGCACGUACUUGAAGUAGAAGAGUAUAUGAUCUCGUACUUUAGCAAAUAGUAAAAUCACAAAAAUACUGAACUCCGAGGAAAAUUCAAAACGAAAAGUCCCUAGUCAAAUGGCAAAAUCAAAAGCUCAAACACAUCAAACGAAUGGUGGAUUGAACCUGGUUUUAUACCUAGCUAAACAUCUUACUUGUAUGACAGUCGAAUCAAAUUCCAUUAUAUUGACAACAAUGCGUAAACAAAACAAACAGACAUACUAGGUAAAAAUCUCAAAAAGGGGUACAUCAGUCAACAUUGUGUUAUACUCUUAAUCACUAUAAAAACAAACAAAUGCAUAACAAAGGAGCACGAAAAGGCAUAUAUCAAAUUUAAAAAUCUCAUUCAUUGUUUUUUUUUAUUAUACUAUUUUGUUUAUCUAUGUUAAAUCCACUCAUAAAGGAUUGCAAGAUUUUAAGUACUGCGACCGAAUCCUUAGAUAUAAAGUUUUGAAGUUGAUAAAAUCAAUUAUACCUCCGUUUAUAUAUUAAAUUUUCAGAAAAUGCCGUUAAUGAUCUUCAGGUUUAUCGAUACGUGGGAAUAGCAUUUGCUGACAGAAAGCUAGAUAUUUAUUAAGCAGUCAGUAAACCACAUUGUAUCACACUCCCUGAAAAUAUCGUGAAACUUACUAAUUCGUAUUUGACAAAGUUUUCUGUUGCCUUUAUUUAUAUCAUAAUGAGUGCCCAUUAAUGUUUAAAAAACGGAUAGGAAAUCAUCAAGAGUAUAUUUUAUUCGACGAUUAAUUCGUUGAUUUCGAUACAUACGUUUGCCAUGAGACCUGUCUUUUAUCGUGAAUAUUCAUAUACCAGCAUUGUCAUGAAAAUGGUUUGGACUGUUAUAAUGAAAAUAAUUGUAUAACGUUCUAGAUUACAUGAUCUUUACGUAAGUGCGUCACUGUUUGUGUUGUUCUAUGGAGUAUGUCGCUGAUUACGACCUUUAAUGUUUUACUUUUACAAAUUGCGACUUGGACGGAGAGUUGUCUCAUUUGCACUCAUACCACAUCUUCUUAUAUCUAUAAAUCUGGAAAAAUUAUUAUGUUUAUAAACAAAAUCACCAAACCCUUAAUAAGCAAACAUAGAAAUGUCAUUAUGUAAAUUUUAGCAAAGAUUGGACGAUAAAUGGAAAUUGUGUGAAGAUGUUUGUUUUCAAUUGAGUAGCAAGUAUCGAGUUGUAUUCAAAGCACUGACGUACUAGUACCUAGAAUGAUUCGAAGAUCUGAUGAAUGUCUAAUGAAAAGCACAGAAUUAAAAUUGAGAAUGGAAAUGGUGAAUGUGCCAAAGAGACAACAACCCAACCAUAGAGCAACAACAGCAGAAGGUCACCAACAGGUUAAUGCAACGAGAAAUUCUCGCACCCGGAGGUGUCCUUCAGCUGGCCCUAAACAAAAUAUAUACUGUUCAAGUGAUUGAACACCAUACUAAACUCCAAAUUAUACACAAGAAACUAUAAGUUAAAAUAAUACAAGACUAACAAAGGCCAGAGGCUUCUGACUUGGGACAGGCGCAAAAAAUGCGGCGGGGGUAAACAUGUUUGUGAGAUCUCAACCCUCCCCCUUACCUCUAGCCAAUGCAAGUAACUCAUAACAAUACGCACAAUAAAAUUUAGUUCAAGAGAAGUCCGAGUCUGAUGUCAGAAGAUGUAACCAAAGAAAAUAAACAAAAUGACAAUAAUACAUAAAUAACAUUGAAUCUAUCUGUAGAAUGUUAGAAAUAACUUGCAGUUGUUUUAUAACGUCUAUUAUCAUAUAUUUGCAUAAAAUCGAGGACAAUAACAGAUAUUGAAAAGUGCAAGGCACUAUCUGAACGCCGGACAAUUAAUUCAAUAAAUGUUUCCUGUCCGAUAAAACGGCAAACAGAAACCCUACAAUGAAAACAUGUCUUCCUAAUCUUAUCCAAUCAUGAUCAUGUGUAUAUAAAAGUUAGACUUUGACUUUGAAAUCAAAGAGAAAAGGCCAAUUUCUAACCUGAAUAUCUUUUGGACAAUAAGCUUAAGUAUAAAUCUGCCACAAUUAAAAGGUUUAGAAAUACAAUCAUAAGAAUCUAAAUAAGCACACAUACAAAUGCCAUUAUGUAAAUUUUAGUAAAUAUUGGAAGAUAAUUCGAAAAUGGACCCAGUGUGAAGAGGUUUACUUUCAGUUGAGUAGCAAGUAUCGAGUUGUUAUCAAAGCACUGACUACAUUCUACUACAGAUAACGACAAGAUCAGAUGAAUGUCAAAUAAAAAGUACAGAAUUUACUCUCCCUGUAGACUGUUAGAAAUAACCUCCAGUUGUUUUAUAACGUCCAUUAUCAUAUAUUUGCUUAAAAUAUAGGACAAAAAUAGGAAAGGAAAAGUGCAAGGCACUAACUGAACGCCGGGUAAUUAAUUCAAUAAAUGUUUUCAGUCAGAAAAAAUGUCAAACAGAUGUCCUACCGGGAAUAUAUAUCUUCCUAUUCUUUUCGAACUUGUAGAUGGGUACAUUAAAAAUUAGACUUUCACAUUGAAAUCAGAGGGAAAAGGCCAAUUUCCCACUGAUUCUAUUUCAUAGUAGCCGCAAAAACAUAUUUUUACAUUUUUACUUAAAUUCACAGCUCCGUAACUGUACUUAUAGAUUCUCACAAUUACAAGGAUAUUGAGCCAAAGUUAUAAAUGAAGAUUGCACGCAAUUGUGUCAGAAUUCGGAUAAGUUCUAAUACUUAUCCCCAAAUAGACAAGUUGUGUUGGAUAUUCUCAUUGAAGAUAUAUAUAUAUAUAUAUAAAAAAAAAAAAACAAAUUGCCGUUUAAAUUUUUAUAACGUAAUGCAUUUAGGUACAUGUUAUAUUGGUGUGUGACGCCCGUAAAGUUUUGACAUUGACAUUGCGGUAUGGUGUGUUUUACAUAUCAACUGCGAUGUCUAACAUAUUUUUAUAAAUCUAUUUUUUUUUGGUAAGAUGUUGUUCUCAUUAUUUAUUUGUUUCGAAAAUAAUUAUAACUUGCCAAAAUUUAAAUGUUUAGAAAUAAAACCAUUAGGAUCUAAAUAAGCACACGUAAAAAUGUCUUUAUGUAAAUUAUAGUAAAAUUUGAAGAUAAAUCAAAAUCAGACCUAAUGGUACGAUGUUUGAUUUCAGUCAAGUAGUAAGAAUCGAGUUGUAAUCAAAGCACUGACUUACUACUACUUCGGAUGAAGCGAAGAUCUGAUGAAUGUAAAAUAAAUACUACAGAAUUUAAUCUCUCUGUAGCCUGUGAGAAAUAACCUGCAGUUGUUUUAUAACGUCCAUUAUCAUAUAUUUGCAUAAAAUUUAGGACAAAAACAGAUAUUGAAAAGUGUAAGGCACUAUCUGAACGCGGACAAUUAAUUCAAUAAAUUUUUUUCUGUCCGAUAAAAUGCCAAACAGACGCCCCGUGGCGAAUAUAUGUUCUUUAUCCCUAUUUUGACAAGAAUAUGUGUACACGUAUACAAAAGUUAGUUUUGACUUUGAAAUCAAAUGAGUAUGAACAAAUUCCCCCUGAAUCUAUUUUACGAUAGCGACAAAAAUUCUUUACAUCUGUUCGUAAAUUCACAGUAUUAGAGCUCCAUGAGUGUACAUAUAGGUUCUUACAAUAGUUGGCUGAUUCAAAAAUUAAUAUUCAGACCAAAGUUAUAAAUGCCCGCAAUUGUGAUAAUUUUUUAUAUUUAUUCCAAAAAUAUAAAAGAGAGACAUUCUCAUUGUUGUAUUUUGAUACACAUUAUUUUGGUAAGUGACGUCAUUACAAUUUUAAACCAAAAUGACUGCGUUAGCAGCUUGUAGAGUCCACGUAUUCAUGUAUUAUUAAAAAAAAAUAAUGUAAACGACACCGUAUGUGUUUCUUUAUUCUACAUUGGCUAGAGGGAUAGGGGAGGGUUGAAAUAUCACAACACAUGUUAAACCCCGCCGCAUUUUUGCGCAUGUCCCAAGUCAGGAGCCUAUAUAUGACCUUUCUUAGUCUGGUAUGUUUUUUUAAUUUUAGUUCAUUUAUAUGUUUUGGGGUUAAGUGUGACGUCCAUUUUCACUAAACUAGUACACAAUUUUGUUGCGGGUUCAGAUGAGGACCACCUCCAGGUGUGGGAUUUUCUCGAAGCGUUGAAGACCCAUUGGUGGCCUUCGGCUGCUGUCUACUCUUUGGUCGGUUGUUGUCUCUUUGACAUAAUUCCUAUUUUCAUUCUCAAUUUCAGUAUAAAAGUUUAAUGUUACUAAUCAGUAAUGCUUAUACAAAAACAAAUAGUAAUAAGUGGUAUGUAUUUCAUUUGAUCAUAUUCAUAGGUUUCAAAACAAGUGAGAACUGGAUAUCACUUUAUAUCAACUCGUGUUAUUUAAUUACAAUAUAAUAACAAAUGAGCCUCUGCUAGUUUAUUAUUACCAUUUAAAUUGAAAAGCGAGAGAUUAUAUCAAGCGAUAUCCAAUUAUCAAGAGUUUUUAAACCUAUUUCUCCUAUGGUCAACGAUCUUUUUGUGUUAGAUUGAUCUUGUCUUUUGCACGGUUUAUUCUGGCUAUUCCUACAUUUUGAAUUUUAUAGGUAAAAUAGUAAAAUCUUAUGUAGGAGUUCCCAGAAAUUUUAUGUAAACAAUGGGAUUAUGUAGGAUUAUGUUGUAACAAUAUUAAACUAAUGAAUCAAGGUAAAUCCUGGUAAAUCUUGUUGAAAAAAGGAAAAAGAAUAAUUUCCAUUACAAUAUUUUAUAAUAUAAUUAAAAAGCAAAUUUUGGGUAAAUAAUAUUUAAAAACACUAAAUAAAUUUAUAGACUCAAUUUAAUUCACAAGCGUUUGAAAUUAAUUAGGUGAAAACACAUUAAUAUAAACAAGUAAAUGAUAUCAAUUGAAAUAAAAACAUAUCAAAAUUGCAGUUGUUUUGUUUUAAAAAAGCACUAAACUUUUAGUUACACUACAUAUUCAUUGCAAUAAAACACCAAAAAUAUACUAAAUAGGCAUUAAACCAGAGCACUUAAACAGUAACAAAUUUUACUUAUUAAACACAGAAGAGAAUAUAAAGUCUGUAUCAAUGUUCAGUAGAUGAGAAGCAGCAUCUAUAUACUAGAUUGGUACAAGUUCACCAUUCUCUAACCUUGUUUUCAGUGUUUGAAUACAAAAAUAAGAUAAAGUGGUAUGUUUGCAUAUGCGACAACUCUCCACAACAGACCAAAAUGACACAUAUAUUAACAACUAUAGGUCACUGACGGCCUUCAACAAUUAGCAACACCCAUACCGCAUAGUCAGUUUAAAAGACCCCUAAAUUACCUAUAUCAGGCCAUGACAUACAUCAAAAUCACAAGUGCUGGCUCAGAAGCGGCGAGAAGUCGACAUGACACAGAAAAAGAAAACUUUGCUCAUAAAAAGUAUCAACAACUAAUGAGUGGAGGAGUAAGCAGACAUUUAGAACUCACUUAUCACAUAUUUAGUUUAUUACUUAUAUUGAGUAAGUAUUUUACAUGACAUAAACAGUCAUCUAACCAUAAAAAUGAGGUCAAGGACAACGGACAUAUGACAGACGGUAACUUUGUAACAUAAGAAAUCUGCAGAAAAAGUAUGAAGUAUCCAGGUUUUCUGAUUCUGAAAUAUAAACGCGUUAUCUUAACAGUUUAUCUUGUAACCACUGGUUUGUUAUCCUGAUUUCUCGCAGACAAUAAAAAAAAAAAAACAAAUAACAAAAUAAGUCAAAAUAUAUAUAUUAAAAAAAAACAACAGAAAAAUAAAAUAUAGGCAGGAGGUGAAAAGUUAGAUCACAUCAGAUUCACAUCGAUCCUAGAGUAGAAAGACUUGCGUGGAAUGUGUAGCCUGAUGCUUUGGUAUGUUAUAGGAAUAUAUACUUAUUAUCAAGUAGAGUAACAAGUCCAAAGCAGACAAAAAACUACAUCCAUCUUAGAUACAGUAACGACUUACGUGAUUUAAUAUAACCAAUUCAGGACUGUAGCAGUCUUUGGCCUUUUUGUUUUUCUUUGAUACCAUGUCGUGGCUCUGUACUUAUACAUCCCGUCAUUAUGUUAUUAUGAUAUUGUAAUUUUUUGUCUUUCGUUGUUGCUAAUGCUCCUUGUCUAUAUGCCUUUUUGUGUUUUCUUUGUUACAUAUUUGUUUGUUUUAUAGUAAUUAAGAUUAUAACACAAUGUUGGCUGAUGUUCUCUAUUUUAAACAUUUUUACCUAUUACAUCUAUUUGUUUUGUUCGCACAUCGUUGUCAAUAUAAGGAAUUUUGUGCGAUUGUCAUAUCAGUGAGAGGUUAAGCUAAAUAUAAAACCAGGUUUAACUAACCACUUUAUACAUAAAAAAAAAUGCCUGUACCAGGAAUAUGACAUUUGCUAUCUAUUCGUGUGAUGUGUUUGGGCUUUUGAUUUUGCCAUUUGAUUAGGGACUUUCGUUUUUAAUUUUUCACAUAGUUUAGUAUUUUUGUGAUUUUAUUUGUUGCACUUGUUUCACUUUAAAGUUUCGUAUUUUUAUCUUUGUCGAAGUAAAAUUUAUUUUAUAAAUGGUUGUCUGUUUGUUAAGGGCAAAACGUAUCUUAGAAAUAAAAGGGAACAUGUUCUAACGUUCUACAUUGUUAUAAGAAACACGAUGUUUUCUAGUUUUAUUAUGAAUAUUCAAUGGAGAUAUAUUUUUACUAAAAUCGUGGUAGCCGAUUUGACAUAUAAAAUCGGUUUCUAUUGUUUUGUAGAAUUAUUUUUCCAUUGAACUUGAACUAAUUAAACUUUAACCGGAAAUUAAUUGUUAAUUUUGUCUUUAUUCGUAUAUCAAAGUUGCCUUAUAUGUCAGAAAGACUAAUCUGUAUAGUCAUAUCAGAUGGUAAAUAACGUCAUUUCACAAGUAAACAAAAAUUUGAGAGUCACGGUUUUAAAUAAAAUGAAACUACAAAAGAUUACGUUCAAAUUGAUGGAGUUAUUAUAUUAAACUAUUAUUAAAUUAGGGUUAUUUUUACGCAGUAAUUAUACUUUAUGACUCGACAAAAUUUUCCUAGUGAUUUAUUGAUGUUGAACUGGAUCUAGUAACCCGUAAACUGAAUUAAGUUUAUUUUCUUACAGACGCCAAUCAUAAAUUGCAUAAUUGUUCUAUAAAGAUUUAUAAAAGAAAAAACCAGAGCAAACACAAUUUAACAGUCUUCUAGGAAACAUAAUUCAUUUAUUAUAAUAUACUUGUACAUGUAUCAUAAUAUACCUGUAUGCAUAUCCUUAAGAAGCGAUCUACAACGGUCAAACCACAAAUUCAUAUAAAGCAUGGGAAAAUUACCAGAGGGACAUUCAAACUGGAAGAUCGAAAAUAAACUGACGACACCCUGACUAAAAAAGAAAAAGACAAACAGACAAAUAAUAGUGCACAAGACACAAUAUAGAAAAAUAAAGACUAAGCAACACGAACCCCACCAAAAACUGGGGGUGAUCACAUGUGUAAAAGUAGCCCUUCCCUGACACAAUUAAUUACUUUUAGUGAAAUUGUUCACUUUAACAAACAAAAACAAUUGCAAAAGUGAAUAUGUUGGUGGAAGAGAAAUAUAUAUAUAGACCAUUUUGAGCACAAAAUUACCAGUUUAUGACUUUGCAUUAAAAUUGGAGGUUGAAUGCGCUCCAUAUUAAACUUAUUUGAGAUUUCAAGAUAUCAAGUAGCCUUGGAUCCUAAAUGCUCAAAAAAGAUGGUUUGAUCAGGGUGAAAUGCUAUAUACACUACAAAGUAAAAUAAAAUCUGAAAAGAUCACUUUUUGUCUGAAUUUGCUUGAACUUUUACUCGACAUUCUUUCUUUGUCUGAAAUAUCUAAAAAAAAUCUUGACAAAGUCUGAAUUUAUCUAAUAAAGUUCUUGAUUUUUCUUGACAUAGGUCGUGACAGUAUUGACUGUCUGAUUAUGUCUUGACAUAUUCUUGACAUUUUUAAUAAUAUCUGAAUAUAUCUUGAUUCAUUUUCAAUGUCUUUAAGCUGUCUGAACAUAUCUCGACACAUUCUUGACGGUCUUAACGAUGUCUUGACACUAUCUCAACCGUGCAAAUUUCUCCUGAAUUGUGUAGAGACACAUUCCUCACAGUUUAAACACUUUCUUUUGCUGUUUUACACUCAUUUCUAUUAUUGCUAAACUAAACUUAGAAGAUUUAGGAUACAAUAAUACAUUGCUAAUUAUAAAAGCCACAUUUUGGCAUAAUAAUUGUUUAUCAACCUUAUUAACAUCGAAUAUUAUGUGAGAAAAAUGAAAUAUGUUUAUAUAAUGAUUGGUUUCAAUCACUUAGCAUUUAUUAAUCAACAUUUAAAAACCCAUUUUUGAAUUGGCUUUAAUCAGCAUAUUCGCAUUUGAUUUUGUUAAUGUUUAAAAUUCAUAGCCAUAAUCAUAUUUAUGAAAAUAUUCAUAUACCCAAAUUUUUUAUUUAUCAAAAUAUUUAUUUAUAUGCCCAACUUUUGUUUUUGUUGAAAUAAAUGUAACUUAAAAUAACAGUAUAUUGUCUAAAGGGAAAUAAUGAUAAAGAUACAUCCUGUACAUGGUUCAUGAUUUGUAAAACUCAGAAUUGUCAAGUAAAUUCAAGACAUAAUUCAAAAUGAUUAGAAUAUGUCAAGACAUACUAAGAAAAAAAUAUGUCGAGAACCUAUCGAGAAAUUUCACGCCAACAUUCAUAAUGUCAAGAAUAUGUCAAGUAAAUUUCAUACAAAUAUAAAUCAGAAACAGUCGAGAAAAAUUAAGACACCUGUCAUUCUUUUGGAGAAUAUGUAAUAAUUGUUCUUGCAAAUUGAGACAAACAUUGUUCUUUUGCAAGCCUACAGCAAUCACCAAAAGCAGUAAACUAUGAUCGUUUAUUAAAGGAUUAUAUUCAGUUUUAAGAAAUUUUUUAGUAUUUUUGAUGACAGACAGUACGUUUAUCUUUACUUUUAACAUUUAGACCUUUGAAUACUUUCGCUAGACAACGGUAAGAUGAGGGGACUGGGUUGUAACCCUUGGCUAGCGAAAUGAUUGAGAGGGAGAGCGAAAAACAGAAAUUAACAAACAAUGAAGUAAUCACUAUGUAAAAUAUUCCCUCGAGCUCUCAGUAUCUUAUUCCUUUACAGGUGAAUUUGAUUUCAUAUCCUUUUUUUCAAGAAGAGCAACUUAAAAGUUUAAACGGUAUCUUAAAAGGGGAUAAUUUGUACAAAAUGUUGAAACAUUCUCAAACUGCAAAAUACAAUAGAUAAAAAUAGGUAGCAAACUCGUGCAAUUAGAUUUUUCUAGGUCUGUUAGAUUUUAUAUUAUAGUUUAAAAUCUUAGGUUAAUCCUCGUUUUUACCUGUAUACGAAUGAGUUUUUAUCGGUCGGAUCAGUCAAUCAAAGCGUUAACUCUUAUUUGACAUUAUUUUCCUUUUAAUACCUGAACACGCCUAAUUCAUACCUAACCCAUCUCUAGCUAAGGCAAUGAGGUCAAAUUAUUAACUUUAAAAAACAUUAUUCAUCAGCAACGUUUUUUACCCUUAUAUUGACAAAAUUGAACCAAAAUGAGGGCUUAAAGCGAAUUAUUAUUUCUCUAUUUCACUUUAAUAAAUGACCGAACUAUUAAAAAUCAUAUUUUAUUUUUUCUUAUGUCUUUAAUAAAUCAAUUACGUAGGUGUUACAACUACAUCGAUUAGUUCAAAAACGUCACAUGCUCUCCGAUCAUUUAAACAAUUAUCAUUUACGAUCUUUAUUUUGAUUCAUUUAUAGUUUAUUGAUGG
RNAcentral lists this long non-coding RNA (46838 nucleotides) under Mytilus galloprovincialis (Mediterranean mussel). The record is from RNAcentral. Lineage: Eukaryota; Metazoa; Mollusca; Bivalvia; Mytilida; Mytilidae.